Molecule: long non-coding RNA, 54899 nt
Filed under: Ananas comosus (pineapple)
Lineage: Eukaryota; Viridiplantae; Streptophyta; Magnoliopsida; Poales; Bromeliaceae
Description: long non-coding RNA (ACOM_LNC002733)
Rfam family: Small nucleolar RNA Z159/U59 (bases 47873-47964)
Source: RNAcentral
UUAAUUAACCUGAGAUCGAGAGGAAAGAGUGAGAUGUUAGAUGUACAUUUUUGUUCAGCAACUCAACAAUGAACUGAUAUUUGAGAGUUAAUUAUAGAGAAAACAUUGUGCAUCUAUUUGUGGAUCAUAUAACCUAUAUUUAAUCUAAUUAAAACAAAUUCACAUACAAGGUUCAGAUGGCCGAGUUGGUCUAAGGCGCCAGAUUAAGGUUCUGGUCCGAAAGGGCGUGGGUUCAAAUCCCACUCUGGACACUCGCUAAAACAUUUUAAUUUAUUUUUCAAUCAAAAAUUUUUACAUAGGGAUUAAUUUAAAUUAAUCAGAAAAUAUAUUCACUGAGGGACCAUUAACUUGCCAGUAAUUUAAUCCUGCUGCUGCAACUCUGCAGCAGAUUCACUUCUUCUUUUUUUUUUUUUCUUUUGCUUGGACAUGGUCAUUAAUUGUUUGUUAGAAACAAAUACUUUCACAUAAUUCAUUCUCAAUUUAGUUGUAAUGAUGCACUUUGCUCUUAUCUCGCGUAGAUCCAAAAAUAUGGGAUGGUUAUUACACCCAAAUGUACAAAAUUUCAACUGAAUGAGUUAGCACAUGAUUUCAGUUCUAUAUCUGAACAUUUGUGGAUGCUGCAGGUAAUAGAUGGUAGAACAAAAAGAAGAUCCCCAAGUCCCAACCAAAUUAGCAAUCUGUUUUUUGGAUAACUUAUUUAGUUUUAUACAAUUUUUAGCUGACAAGAUCAGUGGACUUGAGUUUCAACAGCCAAAAUAACAAUGGAAGCACGCAAUCACAAUUCACAAUUUCUUUCCCUCGGGUUUCAAAUUAAAAAAGCGCCGCACUUUUGCUACCAAAUAAACCAGAAGGAUGUUGAAAUGAUAUAACACAACUUUUAUUAAUGUUAAUGAUCACACAUUAAUUUGCAACUCUGACUGAAUGAAUGUAUCUGCUAGAUACAACUUAAUUUUAAUUCUGGAAAAAGCUUAUUCAAAAUAGACAAAUCUCAAACUUUCUAUCCAUGUAAUGCCUCUUCACAACUUGAUUAUUACACCCUUAUCCAAACCAGAUUGAUGCUACCUUAAUCAGAUCAAUCCUACACUUAUUAUAACACCAACUCCAGCUCCCAACUGGAAGUUCUUUGAUGCAAGCAGCAAAGCAUUUCUGGUCCACAUUUCCGGGAUUGAGCUUCCUAUUAUAUCCUUCUAUUGAGAGGGCAAAAGCCGAGGCCGUUAGCAACACCGCAAGCACGAUCACCUCUCUCCUCAUCGCGGUCGUCAUUCUCUCUUUUCACCCCUUCUUAUACUGCAAAAUUCAUUUGGUGUAGCGGCUCGUGUAGGGGAGUUGAUGCUCUUUAUGUAGCUUCUGGAAUUGGGGAGUUUGUCAGGUUGAGAUCAUGCAUGCAAAAGUGGUGAGCCUGUCAGGUUGGGAUCAUGCAAAUUUUGCCGUGUUUGAAAUGAUCAUAUAAAGAUGUGUAACUGCACAAAAUUAUCUAGUUACAUAUAUACCCGUGCAAAAUCUGAAUUCUCAUGUUAUAUAUAAUAUAUAUAUACACACACGCACACACACACACGCACACACACGCACACAACAGAAAUAUAUGGAGUUUUGAGCUUUUGAUUUAUCCUAUACUUAGUUUGUCCAGAAAUUUAGAGCAACUUCUCUGCUUCGGAAGAUAUGCGAAAAUUAAAAGGUUACGAGCCAAUCAUUUAUGGUAUUACCAUGAAAUAAGCUUUUAGCUCGCAAAGGGAAAAGGUAAUUAAAGCUUUUGGUUAUGUCGAGUUGGAAGCUUUUAAAACUAAAACUUUCUUAAAAAAUCAACAUAAACAACAGUUCUGCAAAAGCACGAGCGACUGAAACAAGUACGAUAUAUAGACCAAAAAGCCACUUCUCGGGCUCAUGUACGCGUUGUGUCCAUCAUACGACAUUUAAGGAUGGUUUACUAUUCUUUAAUUAAUAAGCAUUUCUUUUUAGUUCCAUGGGAUUUUAAGGGCCAAACUUGAUGAAAUGUGAUGCUCUCCAUGUAGAAAUCUGCAACGAAUUCUCCCAGGGAUGCCGUGGUCAACAAUUGAGUUUGAAGUCGGCGAAGGGAACCGACAAUUACCGACAUCACUAGCGAGAAAAUGACUCGGCAGCGAAUCACCGGCAAUUGCAGAUUUUCAGUUAUAAAGGUGGCCUAAAUUAGUAGGCCUAGGCCCACUUAACACUGGGCCGUAUAAAUAAAAGCCCAAAUUCCAAACAUUCGACCCAGAUCGAACGCUGCGCAAUCGAACGGCUAAUAUUAACUGGUCUCAUUAAAUAAAUAACGGUCUCGUUAGGGCUUUUUCUCUCUCUCUCCCGCUGCCGCUACUACCGUGUGCUCUGGUCUCCGAAGCACCCAAACACUUUCUAGGGUUUCCGAAGAGCUCCCUAGGGUUUCAUCACCAUGGUGAGCUCUCCCGAUUCUCUCUACACUUUCUCACUACUAUUUGUAUUCUCAUAAUUCUCUCUAGAUUCGUUUUACUUGAAGCUUUUCGAUCCAAUUCCCUCUCUUUGGGGUUUCAAAGACGCCUCUUUCACACAAACCUCUACUUGUUGAUGCCUUUUAACAUCUACUUGAAGCUUUUCAAUCAGAGUCCAUCGUCUGGGGUUUCAAAGAUGCUUCUUUUACGAAAAAUUUCACUGGAUCACUCUAAGUUAUGUGUUUUUUUUGGGGGGAUUAUUAGGUUCUCCAAAACGAUGUCGAUCUUUUGAAUCCCCCAGCGGAGCUCGAGAAGCGGAAGCACAAGCUUAAGCGGCUCGUGCAAUCCCCGAACUCCUUCUUCAUGGUAUUCUCAUCUUCAGAAUACGAUCCGAUAGGAAGCUUUCUUUUUUCUGCCUUUGUUCCAAUUUUCUUUCAACUAAAUUUCAAUUUGUUUUUUUUUUUAAUCGAAAUUUGUAGGAUGUGAAGUGCCAAGGUUGCUUUAAUAUGUAAGUCUCUCUUUCUUAGCAAUAAAAAGUUGCAACUUUUUAUUUGAGUAUUGGUUUACUCGCAAAUUUAGUUCAAUCCUGAUCUCAAUUCCCUCUUUAUAGAGUUCCAACUACAAUACUUUAGGCCCCUGAAGUUCAACUUGAAUUGCAACUUAGUCCUUGAGAGUUUCUACUUAAAAACUUUUGGAUUCUUAAUAAUCAAAGUCCAAUAAUGGUGCUGGUUUUGAAAAUUGCCGUUCACAUUGCAAGAUCUGAUCUGGCACCUUUUCCAGGCAAUGAGUUAACAAUAGAGCUUAGUGGUUAAGCUGAACAAACUACGGGGACUAAAUUGUUAUGACUCAAAAGUGUGAGGAUCAUAUUGAGUUCAUGGUUGAACUUCAGGGACUAAUCUUGUAAUUAGAAGUUUUUUUUUUGAAUUGGGCAAUUAAUCAAUCUAUCAAAGUAUAUAGUUUGUUGAAUGCAUUAGGUAAUGCAUGUUUGCCUAUUAUUGUUCCAAUUAUUAGUAAUUCCGCGGAUUGUGUGAUCAUGCAGAACCACUGUUUUUAGCCACUCGCAGACCGUGGUGUUCUGCGGCAGUUGCCAAUCCGUUCUUUGCCAGCCGACUGGAGGGCGUGCAAGGCUCACCGAGGGAUGCUCUUUUAGGCGGAAGGGAGAUUAAGUGGCGCGGGUGCAAGUUUACUAUAGUCUUAUUACAUCGACUUGAUUCGAGCUAUUUAAGUCUUUGAGACUGAAAUGAGAUGUUACGGUUUGGUCGUUACGAUUUUUCCUUUUCAAGCUGAAGUUUUGGUAUUUGGUCUCAUUUAUUGUAGGUUGUUGAUUUUGUUUAACUUGUUCUCAUGUUGCUAUUGUUGCAUUUCUGGAUCUUAAUUGGAAAAAUGAGUCUACGAUAAUUGAUACUGGAUUGUUAUCUAUUGUGGUUCUGGAAUGGAUAUGUAAUUCGUCACUACAAAUGCUUGAAAUUGGUAUUUUGUUUUAACUGGAAGUACACAUUGCAGUUGAUUCCGGUAUUGGUGUCGAGCUAAAUAGGGGAUCAUUUUCUUUACAUUGAGUUUGUGUUGUAGAAUAAGAUUUGAUUUUCUUGUUGGAUCACACAAGAGCUAAUGAUGCUGUGCCUUACCUUCUAACUAUGUUGUUCUAGUUCUAGUUAAUGGAAAUGCUUUCUUUCGCAUUGACAAGCUAGUAUUAGUAUUGCCUGUCAAAACAUUCAACACUUUUACAGAAGACAAACAUUUCAUCGUCACUUUUAAUUAACCAGUCUUAUCUUCUGCAGAAAACUACUACUAUUUAGAAACUUCUGCAAGAAAAUAAACAAAAAAAAAGAGGGAGAGAAACACUGCUUACUAAUCUUGUUCCAGAGAAAAAAGAUGAUCCAAACCAACAUACAAAGGAAUAGAAAAGGUAUUUGUUUUCGAUUAACAAAAUGUGCAAGGAAAGAAUGAUCACAAGUUUGAUCUUUAAAAGUGAUAGAAGACGACGCACUAGUGGUGGAAGAAAAAGAGCUCUUCCCCAAUAUAUACCAAAUCCUACUAAUCCAUUUGACAAUAGCUAGCACAAAAAAAGGUGAUUCAAAACGAUAUAUGUAUACACACACACACACACACAGAGGAGUAGAAAAUACUAAGUUGAAUUCAAACAAGCUUCUAUUCAGCUGGAGCCAUUGAUUCCAAUGGGCUGGGGUGUUCCAAAUAGAGCUGAACUCGUAAAGGAUCGCUGCUCAUCGACUUGAUAGGAGUUAUCUGCGGAGGCUGCAUCCACUGCUUCGUGUCCGUCGGAAUCCACAACUGCGCUUCCUCAGUGCUCUCCGAAGGAAGCGCAUGGAAAUAUGCGGUGAUCUCCCAACUACUACCUACACAAAUAACAAGGCGAGAAAACGAAAAAAUGUUAGCCAAUCCCUUUGGUUGCAUUUAGUAAUAGAUAGUGCCUUGAAAUGGUAAUCUAAUAAGAUAUGUACCAGAUGGGAGGGGUUUAGUGAGGGGUUCAGCAACAGUAAGCUUAACCAGGAAAGCCCUCAGAGCAAACUCAAGGUUCUCCUCCUCUACCUUGGAGCUGUAUGAUUGGUUCACCGUAAGUUUGAACACGAACCGCUCAACAGGUAUGCGCUCCUUGUCGUAGAAGAUGACGACCACCCUCUCAACCAACCCCUGCAAUUUGAAUGACAUGAAGCAUUUUCAUUGCUUCAGAGUGGCAGGUAAAUGCCGCAAAUGUGUUUAAGAAAAUCAAGACUCUCUAGCUAAUUCUUUUCUGCAUCAGCAAAUCUUAUGGCAUUCCAUUAUGGUUCAAAGCAGGAAUAGUUUUCGAAGGAGCCCAAACGCAAAUAUAAGUUACUUUGAUCAUUCAUUCAAAGCUCGAAGAAAGAAAAUAAGAGCGCUUGCGCGCUAUCUUUUGUGCAUAACAAUUGAAACAAAACCACAUCGCAUGCACGAAUAGUAACAACUACAAAAACAACAAGCACCUGAUCGAUCGCUGCUCAAAUUAACCAUGGCCAUUACAGCUAAUUAAUCACCAACCAACCCAAAACCCAUUAAUUGGAACUCUCAAAAAGAGUCCAAACAACGCGCGCACAGUUAAGUAGAAAGCGAAGAAAGGAAGGACCUUUUGAAUGAAAGGUCGAAGACCAUUAGUUGCGGAGUUGAUAUAGUUGGACAGUUGCGGAUGCCGCGCCUUGUGCACCACCACAUUCAUAUACCUUCUCCUCUCAAAUGCUCCUUUUCAACCCCCACACACGCAUUAACACAAACAGUUGGUGUGCAUAAAUAAGGUAAAAUGUACAGCAACCCCCUUCAGAGACACGCCAUUUUGAAUUAGACCCCUCAACAAUUAACAAUCAACAAUCAACAACUAACGAAGUUGCUAAUUUUAACGAAUUUAGAAAGUAACUUAAAUCAAAGAAAGGCCUAGCUCAAAAUGGCCUAAAGUUGAGGGGUUCUCCAUACACCAUUACACAGAAAACAAAAUUUAAAAAAAGAAGCCUAAAAAUUGUUUAUAAAAAGAAAAAAAAAAUCUAAAUGGGUACCGGGAGGAUAGAACCCUUUGAGGAAAACGAUGGAGGUAAUUGCCACUUCAAGGAACUCCACUAAUAUCCGAGCCGUUUCUCCUACGAUUUGGUAAAACGUAAAGGAUUCAAAAAUAAAAGCGACUCCUGUUACCACUAAUUAAGGAAGGGGGUGGUGAAAAAUUGGUGAAAAUGAGGGGAGUAAAUUGGGAAAAAGGCAAUUGUAUUAGUAUUACCUUGAGGAGAUUGGUUCUUACGGUCCAUGACGCUCCACUUGGAUCUUUGUUUAAGGAAUUGUCAAAUUUAAGUAACGAAAAUAGCUUCGAAUGAAAAUUAGUAAAAGUUGAAAAGGCCAGCAAAAUAUUUUUCUUGUGGAACAAGUCUGCCACGUCAUCAACAACCACCAAUGAAAACCCAACACAUCAGAGAAAUUGUUGUCGGGAGAAAAAGCUGUUUCCUUUUCAUUGGGUUGGGCCUACAGACCCGGUGCAGAGGAAAUAUUCUUCGGAAGCAGGCUUACGGAUCCAGAUCCGUUAUGGACCAUACCCGGAUCCAUUAACUGCAGAUACUUUUUCAUCGGGUUAGGCCUACAGACCCGGUGCAGAGGAAAUUUCUUUGGAAGCCAGGCUUACGGAUCCAGAUAUGUUAUGGACCAUACCCGGAUCCAUUAACCCUUAACCGCAGUCGGUCGGGGCGCAUACUUUGGAUUAAUUCGGAGCCAUUAGAUUGGUGAUUAGCGGGGACUAAUUAUAAUUUUAUUAAAUUAAUCAGGAUUAGACCGAAUGAGUAGACCGCGAGGCGGUGCUAUAUAUAGGCCUCGUUAAGGCGGUGACCGUAGCGCGCCGCCUCGUGAAGGAGAGAAAAAAAGGGAGAGAGAGGGGGGAGGAGAGACGAAGACGACGAAGACGACUCAACCAUUUUCUCCUCGUCUCCUCCUUCUCCUCCUCUCUCUAUCGCUUUAGUCGAGCUCCUCUCUUCCUCCUCUGUGCCCUUGAUCGAGCUUUGAGUGCUUUGAUCGCUAGAUCGGGCUAGUUUGCGGCGGAUCUGUUUAGAUCGAUCUCCAGAUCUCGAGGUCUCGUAAGAGAUCCCGCAAACUAGGGCUCUUCGCUGGCGAUUCCUUGGUAAGAGGAUGAGAUCCAUGGUGAAUAGUGUGUUGUUUGAUUGUGUUUGCAUCGGAUCGGGGUUUCGUAUGCUAGAUCUGUAGUAUAUCACAUUUGUAUUCCAUUUCGAUCGGAUAUCUCGAACGAUCCGAUGAGUACUUUGUGUCUUUCUUCGCUGACUGCUGGGAUCUCGUGUUCUCGUGCGAGAUCGUGCGUACUAGUGUUCGUAGGGGGCUAUUUCUUUGUAAUAAGAAGAGAUUUCUAGUCGAUCGUUCUAUUUUUUUUGUGAUCACCUUGGAUCUGUGGUUCCUUAUCCUAGAUUUACUGCUAUACCCGAUCUCUUCUGGAACAGAAGCUAUUCUGAGGUUCUCCUUUGUGGAUGGUGUCUACUGCCCUCAUUUCCCUAUUCAAAUUGAUAGCGCGGAUGUGGAAUAGUCGUGUUGUUUCAGCUCCAUGUUAUGGAAGAUGUCGUUGAUGAAUUGCUUCAUAGAAUCAUUUGAAGGCCUUUGUGGUGACAUAUCCGACUUGCGUUUGAUCUCUGCGUUUGAGCGUGUUCAUAUUUCCGAUCUCCCUGUCUCCUUUUUUCAACGUAUAUGGCCUUUUCAUUUCCUACAAGGUCAGCUUUUGCGUUCGCUGACUAUAAGUUUAUUUGACCGCGCUUCUACUCUCAAGGAACUUAUAUCUCAUCGAUACAGCUUCUUUUGAUAUUUCCUAGUGGGAAAAUGUAUUCGACCGUCAUCUGCAAUUGCGUUUUAUGGUUUUUCUGAUCACCGGAUUCUUUUGAAAAAUUUGCCCAAAGCUGUGAUUCCUUUCCCUUUUAUGCCUCCUUUGUUCGAGUAGUUGCUUGAAAAAAAUUAAUUAACUGUCUACUCUUGUGUGUUCAGGUAAACAAAUUAGAAAGGAUGGAGAGCUGCCGUCUUAGGUCCAGUGGCAUUGGGCAAUUAUUCACGGAGUGCGCAACCGACACGAGAUGUUGGCAGAACGGUAGCCACUCGGUUCCAAGGGCUGAUAUUCUAUGUCCUGAACCUCGCUGGGCCACAAGGGCUCCUGUGGCUGUAGAUAAUCUCAGCAGAUUCAGUUCCAAGUCGAGAUGGUAAGCUACUUGCAACAGUUGUUUUGGUUGAAAUUUUUCAUCAUAAACUGUAUGGAUUUAAAUUCUAUACUUGUAAGUUCAAUCUCGAGAAGCAAUUGGCUCGCCUAAUAUAAGCGUAUGCCAUUUUAUAGCAUAAAAAGUGUUCUAUAUUAAUUGACAUAGGUAGCGUGCAGCCUCCAGAUUUUUGGACCAAGGAAGUUGGAUCGCUUGUUGAUGGCUUACUAGCUAGUUUCGACUGUAGCUGCUUUUAGAUUUUGUGCAUUCUACUACCUGUCAGUCUAAUAAUUGGUCCUUUUCUCUAACAUGUGAAGAGGACAUGUACAUAAGCGUAGGGUUUUUCAUGUCAACUGCCUCAUCCUGGAUUUUUUUUAAAAAUAAUAAUAAUAAUAAUAAUUUUUGGUCGCUUUGGGUGCUAGUUUCCUUGCCAGUACUACUAAGCAUGACAAUCUAAAGAAAUAGAGCUAUUAAAUUGUAGCCUCAGAAAACCCUCAGAAGUUUACCUGAGGGGAUUCCAUGUUGUGGAAAAGUGAUCUGUUGUUUCCGUGUAGUAACUAGUAACUCUGACUCUGUUUUUUUAAUUUCUUACAGCUUAGAGCCUUUGCAGAAAGCGGAAUUGGGUCUUGGGAUACUGGAUAUUAUUCUCAGCAAGGUACUUCUCUAUCCUCCCAAUGCUUAUUCCUUCAUUAUUAUAUCCAAAGUAAAUAUUUACUGUAACCCCUUUACUUAUUUGCUUAUUUAUUUAUGUAUUUUUGUGAAUUUCAGAAUGAACCUGAGGAUGCUUUUGACAUUGAUGAUGAAUCUCCUUUCUUCUCCGGCUCACCGCCAGAACGAACGACUAACCCGAUAAUCCGCGACCCUAAUUUCGUUAACCAGAGUUCAUCGACGGCGUCUCCUAUCAAACCUUCAUCUAGAGUACACAGAGGCUCCCCAUCCUGCGCUCCCGCCUUCAGCACAAACCCGAUACGGAGAAUUGAAGGCUUUUCCUGCAACGAAUCGGACAACCACCGCAUAGUCUCUGCCCAUGCUUAACCGACAACAGCCGCUGACCAUCAAAAUCCCUGUUUCUACUGUAAAUUUUGAUGUUAAUAGUUCUCCUCUUACAAUUUCUGUUCAUAGAGAAUAGUGUGUCUUUGCUUGUACAUAGGCCUGAGUCCGAGUUACAUAUAUGCACAUAGAAUUUACCCGUGUGUUUUCGUGUGAGAGAGAGGGAGUUCCAGUGCGAAGAGUUUUUUUUUUUUAACCCCUGCAUAAUACCGUGUAAAAAGGAGAUUUUGUGUAUACUUUUCUUUUUGUUUUUUCAUUUUCUUAAAGUUGUACAUACCUAAGAUCAGCUCUAUGUGAAUAUGGGAAUGCAGUAUUAUUACUUUUUAUAUGCGAUAUAUUCGUUGCGUGCGGACCUUAGCUUCUGGGUUGCUUCGUCGGACCGUUGUUUUAUUUAUUAUGAGUAGCAGUCCACAUCCUUCAUUGUUCUUCAACAUGUAUAUAUAAUAUGUUGUCGUGUCCACAUCCUUCAUUGUGUCCACAUCCUUCAUUGUCUUUCAACAUGUAUAUUAUAUAUAAUAUGUGUCGUGUCUCUAUGGCAUCAUUUGUGGCCACGUUGACGGUGAUCACUUUUGCCUUCAUUGUUUUCAAUUUGUAUGUGUUGUGUUUCUUUGGCAUCAUUUGUGGCCACGUUGAGUGAUCACUUUUGCUUUUCUUUUUUUUUUCCCUUUUUUUUUUUUUUUGCGCCUUAUCUCAAAAUUCCUGAUAAAGUUCAAACAUCUUUCAACGGCGUGUGCGAGUUUGCAUUUUACACUAUGCCGUAUAAAGGGUACCGUUGGUAGGCAUCUUUUUGUAGUUCUUUUGUAAGAAAGAGAAGUUAAUGCAAACCUGAGAUCGGAUUAAUCUUUUUCUUUUCCCUUUUUUUUUUUUAUUUAUAGAGUUUCACUAUAAUUUGUGAUUGUACCCUGCUCACUGUAAGCUAUUAUUAUGUGUUUUCACGGUACCGCAACAAGUCCCUACUACUAUAAAAAAAAAGUAGUUUGUUUGUUUGUUGAAUAUUUGGGAAGAGAGAGCGUAAUGGUACUGAUUUUUAAAGCAUGUAAUAUAUGUAUAAAUUAUUGUCAGUACAUCAUCAACCACUAAUAAUAUUAAAUAUGUUUAUUUAAUAUUGCCAUGCAUGCAACUGAAAAUAUGCUGCUAUGCAAGAUCAAGGUGUGUAAAUUUUAUCAAAGCGAGCCAAGCAUCUUCUCCGCAGGAAAGGUGUCCGAGGAGUUGGUUGGCGACAGCUGAUUUCAUUUGGACGGCCGAGUUGGAGAGAUUUGGCCGGCGAUCGAGUUUGGAUCUUUCGGGGGGAGGGAGUUGACUGCAGCUUCAGACUUUGCGUACGCGUGCACUCUUCAGCUCUCCGUCUGCCCCUUGUCAUCAUCAAGUGUUGAGAUAUUUUGCAGCAAUUAUCUAUCCCAUAAUAAUAAUAAUAAUAUUAACAAUUAAUUCGUAUUGUGCAUAAAUUUAAAAUUUAAAAUUUGAGUUCUAAACUUUUGAAUUUAGUGUAUUUAAUUAGGGAUUUCUAGAGAGAACUUUAUAAUAAGAAGCGUAUGGGUACUCCAUCUCACCGAAAAAUACGAAGAAGAAAAAAAUCUGAAGGGGAAAGAAAAGUAAUUAAUAGAGCAUUUUCGAAACUACUAAUUCGUAGAUGUAGUAACUGAGACGGAAAAAAAACUUAAGGAGACCCGAAUAUACGACAAAAGGAAGUCUAAUAAACCAAGUCUUCUUAAUUUAUAUGCAUAAAAUAUAUAUAGUGACGUCUUGUGUGUAUAUUAAACUUCACCAUGAGGAGACAAUACGAAAAUCUAAUCCACUUUUUUGUAUAAAUUUUGAUCGAUGGUGAGAUAGUCUAAUUAUUUGGUAUGCAACACUCGAAAGUUUAAAACAGCUUGAAGAUGCAUCCAACUAUCUCACCAUGGAUAGAGAGUGCACGUACAUUCACACUUUCUUUUAUUUUUUAUUUUUUUUCUUUUGAGGAAGGUAGUCAGCUAUAUAUAUGUCUCGUUUAUUUUUUAGAAAAUAAUAAGUUCGAAUUUGAGAUUUCGAGUACUAUGAAACAAUCAUAAUAUGGACUUAAAUUAAAUAGAAGAAAAUUAAUAAUAUCAAGAGUCUGACAUGACUCGAAUUCGGAACCCCCUGCUCUGAUGUCAUGCGAAACAAUUGUUAUACUUUAAAAGAUUAAACUGUUAGAGAAUAAUAUUUAUAUAUUUUAAUAUUUAACAAGUAUAAAAUGUAAGUCCUUAGUCAACUACACUACAUACAGGCGGCGGUUGGAUAUUCCAACCGGACACGCAUGCAUGACCAUUUCUUUGCAUCGGUGACUAAAUAUUUCUUCCCGUGUUUAUCUUCUUAAAAUAAUAAAAAAGCAUCAAACUUACUCAUCCGUGAAUUAUAAAACAUUUGAUGUUGUGUCGAACACGAUGGAGCUAGCUUUCGAAUGCUGCAUCUGAAUCAAGUUUGUUAGCUUCUCAAUUGAGGAAGGUAGCAGGGAAACAGCCUUAUCCCGCCACUGGUACGUGUACAUAUAUACAUAAUAUAUAUUGACAAAUUAAAAGAAGCACAAUCUUUUUUUUUAUUUGUGUGUUACUCGCAUAUUUGUAUGGCUUUGGACCACAUGUUAUUAAUUGAAGAAUAAAGUUGGGGGAGAAGCACUUUGAGAAAAAGCUGGCCCUUUUGUCUAGCUUUCGGCUUUUGGCUUUUGGUUCUUUUGUGGGGCUACAAAGGCAUUGGAUUCUUCAGGGACAACAGAUAAAUUGAGCUGCUUGUGUUGCGACUUGUGAUUGGAUAGCAGUGGGAUCCGAAUAAGAAAAAGUUACCCGAAAUAAAAAAAAAAAGAAAGAAAGAGAGAGAGAGAGAGAGAGAGAUAUUGUAGAAUAUAUAUAAUAAGAGCUAUUUGAGAAAUGUAGAAAAAAAAUUUCUACAAUUUAAUUCUAAAAUAUGGCAAAAAGUUUGAAGUAAUUAGAUGUAAUUUAAGGUGCUGAAAUAAAAAUAAGGUUUAAUUAUAAAAGCUCCCUACAUUUUACACUCUGUAUCGUAAAUACUUUUCUGUAUUAAAAAUUUAAACAGUAUCAAUCUUGCACUUUAAUCUUGUAUCAGAUACUUUCAAUUAUUGAGGAUUCUGCUAAUUUUUGACGAAAAUGUUAGCGGUGGUGGCUUGGCGAGAUGAAGAGAAUCUCUUACGUGAAUAAUUUUGCAUAUAUGAUUUCUGUUAAAUUUUAGUAGGCCAAUUUGCAUAAAACAAUCCAUCUAUUUUGGGUUUUUGGAAAAGCGGACUAUUUUUUUUGUUUUUGCAGAUUCGGUCCGCUUUUUCAGCAAACUAAUCAAAAUACAUUUAUAUCUUUUUCUCUCUCCUUUUUUUUUUCUCAUUCUUUUUGUCUUUCUCUUCCUAGAGAAGAGCGGAGAGCCGGAGACAGCGGAGGCGGCCUAUUUCGAUUUUGUCCUGCAUAUCCUUACUCUCGUCCGCACACCCCCACCUUCCUCAUCUCCGAGGCUACAGCGCUGCAGAGACCUCCACGGUGUCCGCGCCGGCAUCAGCGCCGGCGAAGAUACAUCGUCGUUGGAAGCGGCAGAGGAGGAAGGAGAGGGAGAGAACGAGAAGGGCGGAGAAGGGCAAGAGAGGCGUCGUUGUCGGAGACAGUGGAGGAGAGUUGAAGAGAAAAAAAAAAAAAAAUCGCGGCUUGGCCUCGGCAGGGUCGGAGGCGAGGAAGGUGCGGGGGUGUGCAGGCGAGAGUAAGGAUGCGUCGGCAUAUUGUCGGCGCCGGCGAAGAUGCGUCGUCGUGGGAAGCGGCAAAGGAGGAAGGAGAAGGAGACGACAAGAAGGGCGGGGAAGGGGGAGAGAGGCGUCAUUGUUGGAAACAGUGGAGGAGUCGGAGAGGGAAAAAAAAAAAAAGUUACGGUGCGGCCUUGGCAGGGUCGGAGGCGAGGGUAAGGAUGCGCCGGACAAGCCGCCUUCACCGCUCUCUUGGAAGAGAAAGAAAAAAAGAACGAGAGAAAAAAAAAAUAGAAAGAAAAAAAUAUAAGGGUGUUUUGGUUAGUUUGCUGAAAAAACGGACCAAAUUUGCAAAAAAGAAAAAGGCGGCCCGAUUUUGCAAAAGCUCAAAAUAAAUAAAUUUUUUAUACAAAUUGGCCAUUUUAGUACUUACAGGUGUGCUUGAUGAAGAUUAAAUAUGCUUAAAGGUGUGUUAUUUCAGCAAGCUAAUGUUAAAAUAAACAAAAAUUUCUAACGGAGGGGCCAAUUUGAGACAGUCAUUAAAGUGCGGGAUUGACAUUGUCUAAACAUUUUAUAUAGAGAAAAGUACUUGAGAUGCGAAGAAAAAUGCAAGGCUUUUUUUCGAUUUAUGAUUGAGCCUAAAAGUAACGAAACUCAAAUUUUGGCAGUGGCUCACUCCCUCCAAAUUUUUUUUUUUUUUGAGAUAGGUAGGACGCUACCCACUUCGUUUAUUUUAUUUAUAAAUAAAUUUAGCUGAAAAUAUGAAUUAACUAAGAUUCGAACUAGGGUCUCAGGUACCGACCACCAAUUCCUUUGUCACUUGCUCUAGGGACGGACGGUCACUCCCUCCGAAAUUGACUUUGUCUUCGAACAGUACCAAAUCAAUUUUCAGCGACCAGCUUGUUUUUCAAGCAACUACUGGUUUACUGUAAGAACUCGUAGAGAGUGACACUGCACUUGCUUACAAACAAACUUAUAAACAAUGCUACAAACUUGCAUCUGCCGUAAUUGUUAAUUGGCAGGAAGGUGCGAAUGAAGUGCGAAGAGAAAGGGAUGAUUCAUGAGGCCAAUGAAGAAAAUCAAACCAACAAGAUGAUGACUUCAUUAAUCCGCAGAGGCUUCAAGCUGGGGAUCAUCCCUAAACCGGGAAUCAUUUUUCAGGGAGGCAGAGUUUUCCUACUAACUAUACUAGCAGUCGAAGAAGACUCUGCGAACACGAUGGAAAGAUGACUUCAACUUUUGCCUUCUUCGGUUGCAUUCCUAUCCCUCGAGUUUAGUUGCCACCGUUAAGUCUGGAACGACAAUAAAUUCAAUGAAAGAAUUCGUCGGAAAAGAAUAUAUCACUCAAACUUCUCAAUUGUUGGAACAUAUCCCUGAUCCCUGAGCUCCCAAUCCAACAAUUGUAGCAUCAUUUCCACUCUUCCAUCAUACACCUCCUCCGUCAAGAACUUCCUCGCCUCACCACCUCCCACCUCCGCCCAGCUCCAACCCGGUGGCUUCCUCAUCCCCCGCCCCCUCAUCCUCGCCCGCACCCGCGCCGCCUCAUCCCACCUCCGUGCCUUUGCGUAUAUAUUCGACAAGAGCACAUAGUUCCCCGCAUUCUCCGGCUCCAACUCCAUUAAAUGCCUCGCGGCCUCCUCCGCCACCUCAACAUUGGAAUAAGUCCUACAUGCACUCAACAGUGCACCCCACACACCGGCAUUCGGUCGAACACCCAGCGGCAUCUCAUUGGUGAUCAAUCUAUAAGCCUCAUCAAUGCAUCCUGCUCGACCUAGCAAGUCGGCGAAACACAUGUAGUGCUCCACAUUCGGAGCUAUGCAGUAUUCAUCCUUCAUAAUUUGAAAGUACCGGCGCCCCUCGGCUAGCAUACCAGCGUGGCUACAAGCUGUGAGGACCGAGACAAAACAGAUCGAAUCGGGCCUCAAUCCCGACUUCAACAAGCUAUCAAACACCUUAAUUGCGUCCAUUCCGCAACCGUGGAUGCCGAACCCGGCUAUCAUAGAGCUAUAACAAAUCAAGUCCUUGUGCUUCCACUUAGAGAACAAGUCGUAUGCUCUCUCAAGAUCUCCGCACUUUGAAUGCAGAUCGAUGAGGGCGGCCACAGUGUGAUUGUUCAAUAGUCUGCUCCCACAUCGGUCGACGUAGCCUUGAAUCCAAUUGGCCAAAUUGGGAGACCCGAAUUGUGCACAAACAGAAACAACGGUCGCAAUCGUCGAAUGGUUCGGCUCCACUUUGCCUCCUCCAUGGCCGCUUAGCAUGAGCUUGAAGAGAUCCAAAGCCUCACCAGCGGAACCUGCAUUCGAAUACGCAGAGAUCAUCGCAUUCCACGACGCGACAUCCCUCUCAUUCAUUUCAUCAAACACUGUUCGAGCGGCGGCUACGUCACCGCACUUGGCAUAGUUACUAAUCAUAGCAGUACAAACUACCCUAUCGGCCUCGCCAUUCUCUUUACACAUUUCAAAAAGCCGACGAGUGGCAUCCAUCUUACCCAACGCGGCAUACCCGCCGAUCAUCUCGACCCAAGUGAUAGUAUUCCUCUCAGGCAUUCUCUCGAACAAGGACGAGGCGCUGUCCACGUCCCCAUCAGCGGCAUAUCCCGCGACCAUAGUAUUCCAAACCUGCACAUCACCGACUCCUCUCUCGGCCAUUUCAUCAAACAGCUUACGCGCAUCGACUAUUCGGCCGCACUUCGCGUAGAAACCCAGCAAUGCGGUGAGCACGCGAGGAUCGACAUGAAACCCAAACUUAAAAACAUGGGAAUGAAUCUGGGCCCCUUCGUUUAACGCCGUUAACCGAGCUAGCGCCUUCAAAACCGCGGAUAGUGUGAACGCGAGGGGUCGACAAGUUUGGGGGCCUCUGAGCAUGCGCGUGUAAAGAAGAAGGGCUUCUCUGCAAGAAUGCGGGGAAUCGGAUUGGGCGUGGGCGCGGAUCAGGGCCGUCCAUACGAAGGCGUUGGGGUGGCGGACGGCGGAGGCGACGGCGCGCGCGUGGGGCAAGAGGCCGAGCUCGGCGGAGGCGCGCACGAGCUUGGCGGCGACGAAGCUGCUGUGGGAGUGGGCCCCGGCCACGACGACGUGGGCGUGGACCUGGCGCAGAUGACGCGGCGAGGAGCAGCGCGAGAUCAGCCGCACGAUGCGGUCCUCCUCCGCCCCGGUCCGCCGCGGGCGCAUUGAUGGACGGUGCUGAUUGUGUCGCCGUAGUGGUGGCGUUGCUGCUACUAAUCUACUACCAGUACCACCAUAGUACUAGUAUUGCUACUAUUAUUACUGGUGAGUUUCAGAGAACUAGAGUUGCUGGGGGCCUGGGGCCAAACCAAAACUUCUCUUUUUGUGUGUGAGUGUGUUCUCCGGUGACACAGUACAAUUUAUAUGUUAAUCAAAUAAGUACACUCUGCAUGAUGCAUUAUGAAAUGUACUUUCUUACCGCAACGCAAUCGGCUCGCAAUCCCAAGACUAACUGCGGCCAGAGUGAGAAAGUCUUUCAAAAUACAUGUUAGAGAAAAGACUCUUUCACUCGCAAACCACAAACAAAAUUUACAAUGCCAACAGUAUUUUCCAAUGACAGAAAUGCAUUCAAAGGCACACCGACAUGAACACCACUUUCGUAGUUGCACCGUGAACAAGUCAACCAGUUACCGAGAACGGUAGCAAAUGGAAGCAAAGUAGACUCUAUAAGAGAAUCAAGGUUUCGAGCACAAUAAUUCCACCCCCCCUAAAACCAAUUUAAUCACUCGGUUAGAGUGAGAAUUAAUCAACAAAUCAGUGACAAAACCUUCCCAAAUCAAAUCCCCAACAACAACGCCACGAGGGCGAGGCGAAGCAACAUAAACAUACAACAACACAUCACCUUUACAAACAAUCCAACUCUGCACAUGAAACACCACCUGAGGGGAGGAAGAGUCAUCAAGAACACCAACUACUUGCAAAGUGAAAUAGCAAUCAGAUCUCUCUUCUUCGCAGUCCGAUCUUAAGCAAGUUUAGUUGCCUAUUUAGCCGGGCUAAGUACGACUAAUUCAAGGACGUUCCUCGAUCUUUUUCCUAUCCGUAAAUCCAUGCUCCAUUCCGAACUCAGCAGCCAAUGCCUCUAUAUCGUUAGUAAUCUCAUUAUUCCCCUUCUGGCCCACCAAGCCCAAGCGCGGAGGCUCGGGCCCGCACCUCUCCAACCCAGAAGCACUUCCGAACUGGCUUUGUAAAUCUUCCAGCUCUUCUGCUGCCACUGUUUGGCGUUUUACCCCCAUCUCUAAAUCAAUGCUCCUUUUGGGCAUGUCGGGGCUUAGUACCCGCCCCAUGGAGUGUGAGGAAGUGAAGGCCGCAGAGUCCUCUUUCACCUUUGCUCGGAAAUCGUUCUUGGAACUGGGAAUUUCGGAGACGAAGGUUUCUCUAAUGUUUUGAACCAGUCCUCGAUUAUAAGGGUUGUUCUUCCCGUCGUAGCGGUAUCGGAAGUUCUCAUAAGUAGUCUGUAGAGAAUUUAUACAAACUAUAAACAAAGAAAUAAUGCAAGAAUUAUGUCAAUGUAGCCGCUUUAUCCGAAGGCUACGUUUGUUGCAGGGAUGGUAAAGGGAUAACUUUAGAUAUCCCCUCUAUUCUGCCCAUUAUUCUACCAAAUGCCACAAAACUUUUUGAGGGAUUAGUAGAGUUCAUGUCCAACCAGGCUACCCAAGAAUAGCCCCACAAGAAAAAUUACAGCUUUCCCUGAAACAAACUUUUCAAAUAAAUUUAUAACGUGGUUUUAAUGAUAAAGAUGACAACCUGAUUGGUGCAGAUAAGAUAAAGGUGAAAUGCCGUCAACCCUCCAACAAACCAAACCACGACAAACGUAUAGAAGAUGAGAAUGCCAGAGACUGGAGACUUCAGAAGUGCUUUCCCAAGAUUACAUUCAUGCGUGCCCAUUAUCUUCGUGAGGUUAACCCAGCAAAAGGCAAACACAUAUAGACAAAGCAAAGUUGUGGAGGAGACAAACAUAAAAAAGAAGCGGUAAUUCCUCUGCAUGAUAAGAAAUAAACUGUGAUUGAGCAUGAAGUAAUACAAUCAAUAUAUCAGAUUAUAAUUUCUCAAUCAGUUUUGAGUACUACAGGCAAGCAAAAGAACAUGGCAAAUAAGAAAAAGUAAAAGAGAGAAACAGACUACUUCCUCCCUUGAGAAGAUAGCAAACAUUAAGGAUACAGUUUUCACAGAAUUAAGCACAAGAUUAUAUAGAUCGCCAGAAAAUAAAUAAUAAUUAAAUAUGAAUUACAGUCCUGUCAGACAAUGAAUUAGGUAAAACAGAAAUAAUAAAUCAAAUAGAUAGAAUUUUUAACAAGAUAACAUUUUCUAUCUUUACUUAGUGAUAGCAGACUCAAACAAAAAUUCAUGUGAAGCACCAAAUAAUGGCAUUUGGUAGGUUCUGUUUCUAUGAGCCAGGCUUACUAGGACCAAUUUCUUGAAUUACUUUCCAUACUCAUAAAAAGGCCAACCCAAAUGUGUAAACCAAGUGAAAAUUAUACAACUGUGUUAAGUACCUUUCCAAUGCAUUGGCCGACCCAGGGACAGUGAUGAUCAAAGCGCUCGACACAAUUGUUGCAGAUAGAGCAGUGGGAGCAUCUGGGUGGACGAUAUAACAUGCAUGUAUGGCAAUACUUAACCUUGACAACAACACCAUUCACAAGGAUGUCCUUUGUGGGCGGUAAGCUUUGAGCACCGUGCUGACUCCCCGGCCAGUCUGCAGAUAUAUUGGAGGAUUCACCGACAUCCUCUGGUUCUGGAGGAUGAGCAUUUCGGGGUACGAUGCCAGGGUCCCUACCAGAUGUGAGAAGAAGAAGAGAGAGGAUCUGCACGAAUUUGGAAUCAGAAGAAAAGGCUAUUAGUUUUCUACUAUGUACAAUAUGUGAUUUUGGAGAAGCUCAAAAUUAUUUCAGCACCGAUUAUUCUCUGACUAAGAUGUUAGCACAAGUUUUUCGGAGAUUUCUUGUUAUUUAAGCUUGUGGUGUAUGGGGAUUUCCCUUUGUGAUUACAAUCUAGGAGAUGUUUGCUAUUGUGAGUCGGAGUUAUCCAACUUUUCAAGAUAAUUUGUCCGACCUACGAUAUGAUUCAUCAUAUUCAGAGAAAAUAGUUCACAAAUAUUUUCAUUCUUCCUAUCAACCAGGUACCAUGUCCCUUGAGUAAACAAGGGAGAUGAGGCUGCUUAAAAUGCUACCUCAAAGGAUUACAAAGACACUCACAUUCAUUAUCAACUCUUAUCUCCUGCAUCUAUAUGAUAGUGCCGAAUCACUGGAACGGCAACAAGAACAUAGAAUGGCCUAACUUCUUAGUACCAGUUUAAGUAGUAAGGACUGGAGCAACUAUCGAACAUUCUCCUAGGAUGUUAUAUAUACUCAAUCAAAUAGCUGAUAAAAAAAAUUUGAACUAAAAUUAGUGACGUAGUACGACAGUUUCUAAAUGAAAAUUCUAAAUUUCAGAUACUAUAGAGGCAAAUAUUUGAAUAAAGUGGAUGCAAGCUUACGUAUGCUGUGAAGACGACAGCUAUGACUACUAUCAGAUUUCCCAGGUUGUGAUGAAACUCGUCAACCAGCUGUUGUGAAACAAAUACAGCAAACAAGACUACUGGAACUACAAUUAAAAAUAUUGUCAGUAUCAGUGACCUCACAUCUGGUCCAAAAAUAAGCCUCCCUCCCAGGAAAAAUCUCUGCACAGAAAAAAAAGAAUAACAAAUAGAUUUCAUUCAAAUGGUUGCAUUAAUCAAAGUAUCAGCUAUCACAUGACUCGCCAAAUUCAAAGCUAAUUUCAUCAGAGAAACAAAAGCAAUGCAUUUGACUUUCUUUCUACAAACUGAAAAAGAAGAUAAUAUGUCUAAGGAAAGAUUUUUUUUCUUUUUUUUUUAAGGCACAGCUUGCAGAAUCAUUGCUUAACCUACACUUUUCGUAGUCUCAACACAACUCAAGUUGACUCAAAUCAGCUCUUCAUCCCCACGUUGUGUAGUGUAGGGUGAGCUGUAUGAGUCAUCAAAAGAGACAAAGUUUACUUUUACGAAAUUCUCUAUUGCUGCUCAAACCAAUUUUUAACUAUGAAAUCUAAACGAAGUGUGACUUUCCUAAUCACCUCCAAUCAUAUCAUUUUGGGUCUCUUAUCAUUUCGCAUCACUUACCUGGAUUGUUUCACUCAUACAAAUAAGAGCAUCUGUAUCUAAACAUCGUACGUAAUUUUGUCAUUUUAAAUGACUCUUUCCCACUUUGUUGUCAAUGGAAGCACUCCGUAUGAACCGAACCUCUGCGUCCUUCACCAUUCCUUUCUUGCAACACCUUUAAAUCCUCAUCUAAGCUAAACUCAUUUAAGGGCAUGUUGUUUUCAGUGGCUCACCAAUGCCAUUCUACAAAGCAGCUUGGCGCAUGGUAUUCUAGACAUGAAAUGGAAUACAACGUGCACAUAUUUACACCAGCAAAUGCUAGAUAAAAAAGCAGGAUGAACAUUGAGAUGCAGAAGGGUUAAAGAUAGCGAUGAAAACAGAAUUGCUUAAAAUGAAAGCAUGAAAGCUACUUCCUGGAAACGUAUGAAAAGAUACAACCAACUAUUAUGUGGCACUCUAUGUAGGGUAUUCAAAGAAGUGCGAUGAAAAUGGUAAAAGAUCUUAAACAAUAACUACAUUACUGAAAGUAGCCAUAAGCUGUUUCGCAGAUAAUAGUUGCUCGUGUUCAUUAUAUACUAAUAACAGCUGCAACAACUAAGAUGCAGCUUCACUUAUUCCUCUGCAAGAUAUUAUCAAGCUAUAUUCGUCAUACCAUCAUAAAUUUCACACUGAGAAUGAUUUAUACCCACAAAAAUCAAAUCAAAAAAUAGUUUUUGAAAGAAAAUGCAGAUGAUCUCACAUUGCUUCCUUUCCACACUUGAUACACCCUCUUCGAUGCACCGUUCGUCUCUAUGAUCCUCCGAUUUGAAUCGGAGAGCUGCGGCGGCGCAGAGGAAUACAUCUUUCCCUGCAUCCUAAAACGACAACAACACCACGUCCACUCUCCUCAACAAAAUCACCACAUGGAUCUCCAUCACCAGCUUCUUCUGCAUCACAAAUCAACCACAUAAAACAUGAAUUCAAAGAAAUUUGAUGAAAAUUAACGAAUGGCAUUACAAAAAUGCGAGAUCACGCGAUUUAGAGCACAAACAACCAAAAAUAUUCGAGAAAUUCCGAAAAGCUCACCGAAAUGGAGCGCGCAUUGUAGAGAGAGCAACGUGGAUCGAAAAAUGUGGCGUAAAAUAAGGGGAAAUUGGAGAAAAAUAAAGAAAAUUGGGUAAAUCUGUGUAGAUUUAGAAGCACUUUAUUAAAGGGAAAGUGAGGAAGGAGUAUGGCAUGGGAGUGUCUAAUAGCUCGGAGAAGAGAGUGGGGGGGGGGGCGGGGGGGGUGGGGGGGGGGGGAAGAGAGAAAGUUACUAGAUUCGGGUCCCACCACUCCUACAAACCCUAACUUCAGGUUCCGUGGAACAAUUAUUGCUUGGACCGCGGUCUAUAGAACUGCGUCUAUGAAACAACAGCUGAGGGUGCGGCAAUUCAAAGGUCAACUUACUUAUGGUAGUUUGUUGAUAUUCUCUAUUUUUUCAGUACCUUACUACGUUGCGUGGUUAGAAUCACGCUUUGUGCGAGAAAUAUUUAUCAUAAUUUAUAAAUAAUCUUGUCUUAAAGUAAUGUAUAUAUAUAUGUAAUUGAUAAUACACAUAAUUAAAAUUUGUCUUUACUAAUCACAUUGAAGGAUCAAAAAUAUAAAGGUUUGAUUAAAGAUAACACAAUAAUUCCAAAAUAAAGUCAAUUAUCACUCAUUUAUUCUAAUAGAAAUAUUUGAUUGAAUAUUUAAUUUUUAUUUAUUAUAAAAUAAAUUUGAUAUAACUUUGUGCUAGAAAUUAACAAUAUUAUUCAGCAGCAGUGAAGAUGAAUUUGCAUCAUCAGCAUUUUCGCCACUAAUAAUGGGCAAAAAAAUCCCCCGUGUGUAGAGAUUUUAGGAUACGAAAAGUGUAAAAAAACUGCGCCCCGUAUCUUCCAACAGAGAAGGACUACUAUAGUAAUAGGAGGACUUUCUCGGUCUAUAGACCAUGGUCCAUGCGAUAAUUUCUCAGGAGCAAUAACGGAAUAGAUCGAGUCACCUCCCGUGAACUCAUCGCGAAACCAAACCAUCGUACUUAGCGGAUCGGGCCGGGUGACGUUAUUACUGGUUAGAGAAUGUUGCGCGCACAAUGCGGCCCAUUUAAAGCUACGGACAGAUUUGUUGCCUGGACCCGGUCCACCCACAUCAGCCUUAAACCAGCCCAUUUCUCCUGUGUCCGGAUUAUAUGCGUCAUUACUGAAUCUGACUUUUAAGCACCUCUACUCUAACGACUGGUACUUGAAUUGUAGAUCACCUCACACAGUACAGUACUGUACUGUACUGUACUGUACUGUACUGUACUGUACUGCAACCAACAAAAGAGGGGGAUUUUAUUAGGUAGAGCGAUGCAUGCUAGGCUGUGGAAGUGUGGAGUGACCAAGGCAAAUGUACACUCACUAGUUUUCACUUCCAACUGUAUCCAGGAAAAGUUAAUUAAUACAAGGAAACCAGUUCCCAACCGAUCAAUCAACCAUAAUCUUACACUUUAAUAUUCAUCUGAAGCUUGAUUCAAUCAUCUCUAUUGCAAAAAGAAUGUCUCCAAAUCUUCUUUUUUUCUUUAAAAAAUGAUAACGUGGAAUUGAAAUGUUAGCUUCGUAUUGACAACAGACCUAUAUAUUAGACCCCUACUCAGAUCCGCAUUCUAGUAAAUCUUGUAAUGUUCCUGGGCUGCAGAUUGGAACUGGGUCAUGUUCCAUUUUUUGAUCGGGUAACUGGAUUCGAGCAACUAUUCUAUAUUUUGUGGUUUUGGUAUCUGAUCGAGGGACAGAUUUUCAAAGUAGAGUUAUUUGGCGGGAACCUUAGUGAAACAUCUUUCCGUCAAUAUCCUUUCUGAAGCUUCCGGCGACCCUGACACACACAAAAUUAAGUGUUAGUUCCGUUGCAGCCUCUGCUUCUCGGAUUCGAAGAUCCGUUAUUCAGGUUUUCGAAUACCAGCCAUUUGUUGCUUGCGAGAUGCUGUGCUCUCGAGGUCGAGCCAAAUAUACUCCUAAAUUUUCCGAUCUAGCUCAAAUCCUUUUUCGAGCUUCGAGGAAAGGCUAGCUAAGCUCAGACGAGUUUUUUUGUGUCACUGAUGCUAUUCUGGAUCAUUUCGGAUCUAACAUAGUGCAUGUUACUCCUAUCUAGCAUGGUACUCAACAUUAAUUUGUUUAAUUAGCCUAUGAGUGCUAAUUAAUGGUGUAAAAGAUCAUUGCUCUGAUUACUUGUUGAACCUCUUCCGCCAGUUGCAGGCAUAUCUCUCGGCAAUCCGAAGUCGCGUACGUACGUACCCCAAUUUUAUCAACCUUAAUCCCAGACAAUUGGUUCGUUAACUGGUAUAAAAAUGGUAAUAAUGAUCGUCCCUAGUGCAGGUGGUAAAAAAUUUGAUAAUUAGUACAUGAGAUCCCAAGUUCGAAGUUUAGUAAUAUAGCAAGAAUAAUUCUGCAAUUUUGUACACAAUCAUUAGGUCUAACGAAUUGCACAUCAUCUAACACGAACAGCUGGCCUAAGUUUUUUCCUUCUUUUUUUUUUUCUUUUCUAUUUAAUUUCUAUUUUCUAACUUUUUUUUUUUGGAAUCAAUUGCCCACCAAACGACAAUGAUGUUUCCAGCAUAUAACAUGGAAGUUUGUUCCCUUAACAAAAGAUGCGUGUGAGAGUUCUCCUCCGGCCAUGGUUGCAAGAAAUUCUUACAACGGAUAUGUGGCUUUAAUCUAUUGGUUACUUCGACUAAUCCGAUGUAAUGUAAAAAAUUAUUGUUUAUUCGAUCUCGCUGUAAGUGUCGCCUGAUGAAGUGUUGUCUAAAUAUGAUAUAUAUUGAAAAAAAUGAAAUAUCAAAAUGCCUUUAGCUGUUUUUUUCUACAAUAGUGACGAUUUGAAACUUCUGAAUUGAAAGCUCAGAAUCUCGUUAUUUUUUCUGUUACAACUUAUUUUCCUAAUUUAUCGAACACUCGCUAAAUUUUUUCGUUGCUGGUGAUGAAAACUGAAAGCAGAAGCAAAAAUAGCGUCAGAUAGAAAUUUCACAGCCAGGAAUUGGAGAGGAUCAGCUGCCUUGCGUAGGUGGGCAAUUGCAAAACCUGUAAAGCAAGCAGAGGAGAAGUGCUUCUCUAACAAUAGACUCAUUCACUGCCCAAAAGCAUGGAUUUGAAUUACUUGCUCACCACUCCAAGUUUCCAACCCCCACCAAACCAAACAUGUUGGACCCACAAAGAAAAAAAGACCAAACUCUGAAGAAAUAUUAAGUUACAUAUGUAAACACACCUGCAAAACUACUAGCUAGCAAUUUUUAUAUAUAAUCCUGUAAAAUCGAAAUUUUGGUUCCAUGAAAUAUGAUUUGCGCCCAUUAAACUAGAGUCCAAAACCAUUUAUUAGGAAGUUACAUUGCAUCACUUUGAGAGCACCCCCUCACCAAACACCUAUAUAUGUGAUGAUGAGAGCAAACAUGUAGAGUACUACGUCAAGCAAUUAUAUAUCUGAUUAAUGAAACAGGAUAUAUAACUCAGCUUAUAUUAUAAAGAAGAGAAUCUCAACAAAGAAAAACUAGAGGCUUGAAAAAGAUAAUAACAAUAUUAAGUGCCUGUUUAUGUGUAAUAUUUGUGGUUGUGUUUGAAGGGGAUAUUUGAAAAAGAGAGAUCGAGAGACUGUGUGUGAAUGCCAACACAUAUUUUACAGCAAACAGAAUUAUUAUUAAUUUCGACAAUACAAAUUAACAAAUAGAUACAUGAUGGGUGGGUGUCGCAAAAACAAAAAAAAGAUACAACCCAGCACUCCACACAAUUAAACUCACAAUUAAAUUUCUAGGAGUACUGAUCACCAAUAGUACUCCUCCUAAUUAACUAUAUAUAUCAUACCAACAGACAUCUACAUAUCAAUAUUUAGAUACAUUAAUUAUAGGAUAGAUGAAUUAAUGCCCAUGAUGCAGUAAAAAUAAAAAAAGAAAGAAAAACAGAAAUUACAUCAACAAGCCCUGAUCAAUUAAUCCCUAAUAUCCAAAACCAUAGGGAUCAUAACACACAAGCACACAUAAACACGCAUGCAUGCAUGCAUAUAUAGAUAUAUGCACAUAUAUAGUACGUACGUACGUAGCGUACGUAGGUAUGUAUAUAUAGAUGUAAUUUAUGUCCCUCUCGCGAGCAUGUGCUGGUACUCCUCCUGAUACUCAAACAAGGCGAUGCGUCUCUGUGCGCGCAACUGCUCGUAGAAUCUCCUGAUGAACUCCUCCGCCUCGUCGUCGACCUCCCCGUUGUCUCCAUCUUUGACCUCCUCCUCCUCCUCCUCCUCCUCCUCCUCCUCAUCAUCAUCAUCAUCAUCAUCGGAGUAGUACUCCGAAAUCCGAACCGAUGUCGGCGAGGGGCUGCGCCUCUCCCCGGGAGCGAAAAGCUCCUCCGCUAACAGCGAUGUUGUUGCCGUCGUCGACGAUGACGACGACUGCGGCGAGUACUCAAUUCUCUUCUGCGCCGCGGGAGCACAAGGCCACGAAUGUUUGUCCUCCUCGUCCUCUACGACUGCGUUGAGGCAAGGGAAGUACGCGUGGCGGCGCCCGCGGAAAAAAACAGGAUUGGGGCUGUUGCUGCAGGAGAACUCGUACUCGCGCAUAAUCGUCAUCGUUGUUGCCGCAAUACUCUGCGACCGCUGAGAAUGAGGGUGGUGGUGGUGGUGGUGGUGGUGGUGGUGGAAGAUGAGGUUGGUGAGGGACCUCCCGAGGAUUUUGUUGCCUCUCUUCAUGAAGAGGUUCAUGUCUAUGAGGAGUUUGCGUUUGUUGGAUACGAGGCCCUUGCGCAUCAUGAAGAACACGGCGCGGAGGUAGCUCCAUAGCUUCUUCGCCGCGGUGGGGGAGUGAAGUUCCAUGAUAAAUUCUAAAUGUUUAUGUAUAAUUAUAUAUGUAUAUAGGUACGCAGUAUGAUGUGGGAAAGUUGUUGUUGUUAAAUAGAAGCUCUCUAAAUUGGUCUUCCUAUUCUUCUUCUUCCUCUGAUUCUUCUUCUCUGUGAGGUGGGCGAGACACCUCGCAGAGAAGAGAGAAGAGAGAGAGAGCCCCUUUAUGAGAAGGGGAAGGAGAGGGUGAGAGGUAGGUGUUAUUUAUAAGAGGAGGAGGAGCCGAGGAGGAGGGUAGAUCUAGGGAGCGUUGGGGUGGAGGAGAAGGCCAUUAAUGUAUCAUUAAUUAAUUAAUUAAUUAAUUAACUGGGUUAAUUAAUUGCACUGUUGGGUCUUUGGUUAGUUUUAUGUAAUUUUUAAUUUACUUUUUAUAAUUGAGUACUUUAGACUAUUAGUUGUUUUAGUUAGGUCUCUUCAGUUGAAAGAUUAAUUAGAUAUGAAUGCUUUAGGAUCUUACAUGUUGUUGAUAUAUAUAUAUAUAUAUAUAUAUAUAUAUGGAUCUCAAUUCAGAUUGUAUGUAUAAGUCACUUAAAAUUUUGUAUAUCAUAUAUAUCAAUUCACCAAAGAUAUAUUCGAUAAUAUAUAUUAGCAUAUUCUUAUACACAGAAAAUUUCUAUACAUAGAAUAGAAUAAUUUUAUCUAUCAUCGGCAGGAUCAUUUCGUACAUAAAAAAUUGUUGCUAAUGUAAUAUGCAUGGAAUACUGAAUAGUGCUUUUGGUCUAGAAUAACGUAUUAUUUGAUGGAAGAAGCUUAAUUAAUGCAAUCAAUAAAUAUUAGUUAAGAACAUAAUAUAUAGUACUAAAGAUUAAGAACAAUAUUUAAUUGAUCAACAACCCAAAUAAUUAAAAUAGGAUAAAAGCUUCACACACAGACAGAGACACAUAGAGAGAGGAAGGUGGUGGUGGGGACGUACGGGGGACUGCUACUUUUCUGAAAAGGCCAGCGCAACCGCUGCAGCUCCGCGUCUCAGCAAAAGAGAAAUAGACAAGGAUAUAAAGUGAGAGAGGGGCUCGAAGUCGACCGUUUGAAAAUUCAAAUCCCAGCAGCAAGGAUUCAAAUUCACAUUUUUCGAGAAUCCUGCGAGAAGCUAUCAUGCAAGUGAAUAUUAAUUUCAGAAACUAUAUAUAUAUAUAUAUAUAUAUAUAUAUAUAUAUAUAUAUAAUUUUUAUAUAGCAUUAAAUUAACUUAGAUCUUCCUGUUAUACAACUUACUGCUGAUUUAGAUUCCCUGUCAUUUUAAAAAACUGUUGUGAACAUGGCGCUCAAGUACACACGGGCUACAAAUACAUUAGUCUCUUCUACUGUUCGGGCUGAUAACUAAACGGUUUGAAAUGUCACUAAAAUACAUUUCUUACGGUGAAAAAAUAUGAUAAAGAAAAAAAAUAUAUUACAAUUGUUUUCAUAAGUUGUAACACAAUGUAAAAAUCACACUAAUUCAGGUAAGAUAAUAAUCAUAAUAAAAAAAUUAUAAAAAAAGCAUAUAUCUCUAUGUGCUCCAAAAAAAAAAAAAAACUAGCAUAUAUACUCUAUCUCUCUCUCUCUCUCUCUCUCUCUCUCUCUCUCUCUAUGUGCUUAAGUCUCAAUUUUUUUCAUCCAAUAGUGGUUAGGUGGCCCUAGCUAAGCUAGAAUUUUCUAUUAUAUUGUUAGAAAUUACACAACCAAACAAAAUUGGAGGUCAAAGUUACCUAACCAUAUAUUUCAUGUUUGAAAUUUAUAUUGAAUGAUACUCUAACUAGUCAUCAUACGUUCACACUGGAGGGAGCUGUCUCACUCAUGUAAAAUGGACCUUAGUUAAUUAAGGGCCAUUAUGUAGGAAAGAAAGAAGAACCUUUAGAAAAUUAAUUGCACUAUUUAUAUACUUGUUCUAAAGUUAAAAAAAAAAAAGAAAAAGAAAAAGAAAAGAAAAGAAGUGGCCCGAUUAAUUAAUUAAUUAAGGGAAGCAAUAGAAGAUGCUCACUUGUUAAUGGUGUAUCCUAGUUCCAAUCUCCUCAACAUCAUCUUGAACCAACCAUGAUGUAAUCUAAUAUAUAUACACACAUAGUAAUUAAAUUAAAUAAUUAAUACGCGCGUAUGAAUUAAUUAAUGCAUAAUCUAAGUGCCAUAAUUAGAGGGCUAAAGUUUCUAUAUAUGUGCCAUUAGCACGAAAGAGAUCCACACCAUAGACAAUUUAGUUACUGUUUAAAACUCAAAUUUAUAAAAGCGACUUAGAACUAAACGCCACAAUCGAUUAUAUGUGUACGUCGAUCGAUUACCAGUUUAAUAUAAACCUUUGUAGAACGUUAACAUACAUUGUGCUUAUUAUAAUAGGCAACACUUUUGCUUUUUCAUGAUCAUCUUUACCCUUUUCUUUUCUUUUUUUUUCUUUUUGAAGUACUCCUUUAUAUGGGGGUGGCUGCAUGCGAAGGCAAGCAUAUAUAUAGCUCAUAAAGAAUCAAUGGCACAAACUUUAGCUUUUUAAUCAACGGGAGCGUGUGUUACAACUUUUUAAAGUUGCAUGCGGAAGAAUGGGCUAAAAACAUGGGUUUGUGAUGCAAAACGUGAUCUUGAUUUAUACCUAUGCUACAUGAGACUCAUGCUCCAUAUGAUAUUCUAAUACUUUACUUCUUCGAUCUCUCUUUAACUAGCUAGGCAACUGAGGAGGACCUACAUGCAUGUUGCUACACUUUUGCAUAGCUCUAUGCAAGUAUCCUUCUACCACCGUACUACUUGGUUGAUCAAUUAAGAUCAAUGUUACUUAAAGUCUUUGGCACAAGUAACAAUAAAUUUGAUAGUUGGCACCCGAUACUUCAAGUUCGAAGCUUAAUUGUUUCAUAUUUUGAACUAAAUUUAUUUUUUAACAAAAAAAAAUGAAUAAAACAAUAGCAUGUUACCAUGCAUUCCCUCUCUCUCUCUCAAAAAAAAAAAAAUGAAAAAUUAAGAUCAGUAUUACUAGACUUUUUCUUACAUGCUACGUCGUAUUCCUAGAUAUAUUCAUCUAAAGCCUUUUUGAUCCAAAGGGCGGUUCAAGGAUCCAAUGGUAUGGUCAAUAAAAAUACUACGAUGGAAGAUUCACUCCCAGUGCCCCCAAAAGAGGUUCCUAAUUAGAAAUGUGAAUUCUAAUGCAAGGAAAAGAUGUUUAUAAUAUCAAACUUCAAUCACCUCUAACCUACCUUUCAUUUCCACGCGCUUCACAUCCUCAAAUUAAUCUCUCUCUCUCUCUCUCUCUCUCUCUCUCUCUCUCUCUCUCUCUCUCUCUCUCUCUCUCUCUCUCUCUCUCUCUCUCUCUCUCUCUCUCUAUAUAUAUAUAUAUAUAUAUGUACAUGAGAAGUGAUGUCAAAAUUAUUCACAGGCUUGAUGGUUGGUACCCUAAAGAGGAUUAACGAAAACCGACCACCUGGGAAGUCCUCGUGUUGCAUCCCUGAAGACGAUUAACGAAAACCGACCGUCCCUAGAGCAAGCGGCAAAGGGCUUGAUGGUUGGUACCCAAGAUCCAAGUUCGAAUCCUAGUUGAUUCACAUUUCUAGAUAAGUUUAUUUCUAAAUGAAAUAAACGAAGCGGGUAGCGUGCUACCUAUCUCUCAAAAAAAAAAAAAAAAAAAUCACAGGCUAUCUCCUAAUUAAAUCAAUCUCUUUGGUUAGUAUUAAGUGCAUGGUGGAAGCAUUAAAUAAAUAAAAACCAACAUCAUUCACCUUUCACAUUUGAGAAUAAAAUUAACAUCAUGGGCUGGUAAUUAAUUAAGGUCGUGACCAAAAUAUAUAUAUAUCCUAAUAAAGGCAACAAAAAAGUGGUCUCACAUAUUCAUAAUUCAACCAUACUAAUUGGCUUCAAUUAUCCCUGAUAAUUAAUUACUCUAUAUAUGUGUUUCCACUCAAUUAAUGUUUGGGCCCUAGCUUUUGGCAGAGAUGGGGAACUUUGUUAGAGCCAUACAUGCUAUACAAAGGUGAGUUAGAUUCGUUAUAAGUUUACAUCUUAUCAUACAGAUAUCAGAAACACUUUAAAAAAGACUCGGUUAAACUCGAUCUUACUGAUCCCCACAGCAUAGUAUGUUAGUUUUGUGUCUAAACACACACGAGAUCUCUGUUACAAGAGUUUUUAAGUACCCUAAAUUCUUGAUCUUUAGUAAAAUCACGUCGAUGACACAUUAAAAUGAGUCUCCCAUCAGUAAUUUAACUUACAUAAGAACAAUAUUGGCCUAAUGCUUAACUUAGAUGCGGAAGUAACUGAAUCUUAGAACAAAGUAUGUGGUAAAGCAAACUAUCUUCAUGGGCAAGAAAGGCAUGAACAUAAAUCGUAAGAUUGAAGAAAGAUAUAAAUAAGUCUUUUAUUUCUGCACCAAUUGAUCAGUACUGAACACUGCUUUAAUUAGAGAUAAUAAACAUAGGUAAUUUAGUCUAAACCGCCAAUUAUUUGACAUGUAACUCACGUUACUCUAUUAUUACUAUUAUUAUUUUAAUAGGAACAAGGCAUAGUGAGGCCUGUUAUUAUAUCAGAUGAGAUCUUUGAAGAUCCACUUAUUAACUGCAAUUUGGUUUCAGGGAAUCCCAAAAGUCUGUUGGGGAAAAAUGUUAGAGAUAAACAAGGCAAAAUGUUUUGUUUCUUACUAUACUUUACAGCCAAAUAUUCUAAUUAAUUUUCAAAUUAACAAUUAAACUUGGCCAACUUGCUCUUCUUUUCCAUUCUUUUCUUUUUAAAUGGACCACCAUGUGACUGUGACAACUAGAAAGCUCAUUGUUUCCUUUUACUUUACAAUAAGCUUGUGCAAACUAUUCACCUUUUACUUUACAAUAAGCUUGUGCAAACUAUUCAUUCUUUCUCCUAACACUACUGUGAAUAAUCUGUCCCUAUUUUCAAAACCUGGGGUAAUUGUAUGUGGUUUUCUCAAACUAUGGGACAAGAAAAGAUCUUUUAUGAGCACUACUACCAUAAUUACCUGCUAAGCAGUGGAAGACCCACCUUCUUACAUGUUGCGAACGACGACGAAACCUCUGAUUCACUUUUUCAUAUUGUUUAUUGAGCUAUUAUAUGAAGCGACGAAAUUUCGAAUAUAGUGCUGCCCUAAUAGCUUGAAAGCAUACCUUAGUCAGACUCAGAAGAAAUACUAUCUUUAACACUAAUGUGCUACUUUACGAAACAUCAAGCAAAAGCUGAUGCAAGAAGAUCAUUGUAUCUGCUGUGCUGAAUGAACGAAGUCUUCGCGUAUUCCUAUUUUCUCGACAGAUUUACACGUCUGGAUUUUGCUAACUGUGCUUUAGUUGGUUAAACAUCAAUGACUUGGUACUAGAUAUCUCAGCAGCUAGUGCCUAACUUUUAAAGCCUAGAAAGAAAAAUGAACAUGAAGCAGGGGACCAAAGUAGGAAACUUGCAAAGAAAUCAGUACGGUGCAAAAGAUAAGAGUUGCUAGCUGUAACCAAGAAGCAAUAAGUUCCAGGGAAGCUCCAAACUUAGAAGGUAGGGGGAGUGUGAGGGAGAAUAUAUCAAGGAACCGAGGAAAUGAAGGAAAACACCAACAACUUGUGAACAUAAUCAAAACAUCAAGCUUGUAGAAGUGGGGCUCUUGUUCCCAUGUAUAUUAACCAGAAGGGAAAAAAAAAAAGAAAAAGAAAGAAACAACUCUCUUGAGCUCCCAAGUAUUUAAUAAUUCCAAGGCUUUUUGAGUUGCAACCUAUCACACCCUACCUAAUUUCACUUCCUGGUUGUUUCCUUUUUGUCAUGAUUUUUUUUUUUGCUUUGCCUAAAUAACAUUUGCUUUCACACUCACCUUUUAUUAGUGCCUGCUCCACCUAGCUUUGAGUUACUUCUCUCCCUCUACUCCCACCAUAAUUUAGAACCAAAACCCACCCUUCUAUCCUCUAUAAAUACCUAUCAGAAUCCUCAAGGCAAAUCCCAUGCCAAAUCAACAACCUUCCCUUCUUCUUCUUCUUCUUCUUCUUCUUCUUCUUCUUCUUACUUGUUAUCAUCUCAAAAUUUACCUCAACAAAUUCAACUCAAAAAUCAGUCUCAAUAUUGUGUUGGCCCACAAACACUUUGUUCACUACUCCAUGCCAAAACAUCACACCUCUUCACUCUUGGUUGAAUUGUUUCUUCCCUCAUCUUUUCCCUUGCUAACAUCAUCCAUUUCCAUCUUGUCAAAGAUGAAGAACAAGGCCUCCACAUUCUUGAAGCAAAUAGUCACUCUCAUCACGGCUGUCGUGAAGGCCAGGACGAUGGCGGUGAAGAACAAAACGGCGGCCCUUAAGACAAGGCUCAUGAUCUUAGGCUUUUUGCGGAACAAGAAGGUGAUGAUGAGCACAAUCUCUCACAAGAUCCAUGCACUGAUGAGCCAAGACAAAGUAAGGUUAAGCGGCCCUACGAAUGAAAACAACAACAAGGCAAUCGUGCUCCGUAAUUCAUCGAUAGACGAAAGGAAAGCUGAUUAUGAGGAGUUAAAAUUUGUCGACUACAUUGAAGAAGACGACGACGAUGAUUAUGACUCACCCGACCUCACGCAUUCCCUAUUCGAUUUGGAUGAUGAGGACGAAGAAGAUUAUGGACUUGUAGAGAGCACGGGUUCGGUCAUAGAGUUGGUAAGGAACUCGCGACAGGAGUUCAACCUCGAGGACGAGAUCGACCACGUAGCUGACAUGUUCAUAAGGAAGAUUCAUAAACAGAUGAGAUUACAGAAACAGGAUUCAUUGAAGAGCUACCAAGAUAUGCUUGAUAGGAGUAUUUAGGGUAUUGAUUAUGAGAUCAGUAGGGUAGAUCUCACGAGAUUAGAUGGAAUAGAAAUACUAUACUGUGGAGGAGAGAAAAAAAAGAAAAGAAAAGAAAAAGAAUAAAAAACAAGAAAAGGAAAAUAGUGCCUUUUGUUUUGGACUAGGGUAUAAGCUUUUGAGUGUAACUUUUUCCAUUUAUAGAUGCUCGAUAUAUGCAUGUUUUCUGGUAACUCUCUGUUUGUGAGAGAUCUUUGAACAUUCUAUCAAUUCUUUAAUACAAUGAAGAAACAAGAGUAUACAGAAUUUAAAAGAGGAGCAAGGAAUGUGGGAUUAACAUAUGGCUGGGUUUAACCUCUUAAAGAAAGAUACAGAAGGAACCUCUGUAGAGAUCUUAAAAGUGGGGAUGUGGGGAUGGUACCUAGUUGACAGUGUGGGAAAGGACAGUAAAAGCUUUUUUUUGUGGGGGGUGGAAGAACAAGUCCAUUAUUGCUGAAUUUUGAGAAAUUAAUAGAACUGAAUUUCAGGGUGAAAUAUGGCUAUUAAGAUAUAGCUUAUAAAAUGACAAAAAACAUGAAAAACCUACAUGUAAAUAAGCUAGAAAUCUUUAAGUUAAAAAGAAACUCCUUGUGUUUCCAUAAUUAUGAAAAAGCAAGAAGCUUGUACCUUCUAUAUACUUCGGUGUACAAUAGUUAAAUAAGAAUCAAUAUUAUCUGAACUCUCAUAAAUGACUACAGGUUAGGCCUGAUGCCAAGCAAGCCAGAACACCUCCACUGCAAAAACAAAAAAUAUUACAUUGUUUUGAUAUUCCCUUAAGAUAUUUAUUCUAUUCAUAGACUCUUCAGAUGUUUACUCUACAAGUUUCUAAAAGAAGCACCACUUACAUAAACAAUUAUCCUCCUUUAAAAAAUAGUAGUCUUAGUUGCCUAUCCACCAAAAUGAGCAACAAUAUUUUACUUACCGGAUGCCUUGUCGCUUUAAACAGCACUUAACACUCAAUUAGCUACCUACAAGAUGAUAUUGAAAGCUACUAGAGACUUUAAAAAGAACUAAAUAAUAAUAUUUCACUUAUCAGGAAACAAUGCCCCGUAUUAUCAAACUCCACUUAAAACUUGAUUAGUUACUUAAACGACAAUAUUGAAAGCUACUAAAGACAAUAUAUAACUUAAAUAGACGAAAUUGCAGAAUUAAACUGAAAGGCAGUAAUAAAGCUAAGGGAAGUGUACUUAUUAACCGAAAGAACAUUCAACUGUAAUGUGAUUGGCUGUUUCCAAAUUGAAGUUCAGAAAAGGGGUUUUUUUUGCAUUUGGCCCCCUCAAAAAAUUUAUUUUCACAAAUAACCCCACCAAAUUUAUAAUUACAAUUUUGGCUUUAUCCCUACCAUGCAAAUGUCACGUAAGCGCCACACAAGCAAGGAGAGGUGUUGGAAUAAGUUGAACACGGUAAUCCAUUCACCGUGUCUAAACACGAUGAAUGGUUCACCGUGUCUGAAAAAAAAAAAAAAAAGAAAAAAGUACGGAACAUGGUGAACCAUUCACCGUGUUCAACUUAACGCCCCUCCGACUUGCCUGAUACUAAUGUGGUGCCUGCGUGGUGGGGAUAGGGUCAAAUUUGUAAUUAUAAAUUUGAUGAGGCUAUUUGUGAAAAAAAAAAAUUGACAGUGCCAAAUGCAAAAAAAAGCCCAUAGAAAAGUUUUUGUUGAAUUAUGUGUCAUGAUAUCUUUGCUACAAUGGUGAUAUAGAAGACCAAUGUAAAUACUAAAUAGUAUCUAGAAUAAAUGGAGCAGUAGAGAUCCAAGUGAUAAUUUGAAUUGCAGCUUUAGUAUUAAUUAAAAAUGCAUAAUCUUACUUGAAUUACAAUUUAUACCAGAGACGUAACUUGGGGAAUAAAACACUACUAAUACAAACUACAAACCAGAUAGUUCAUCCCAAAAUUAUGGAAUAUAGUUGCAUCUAAAAUAAAACCAAAAGGACACAUUUCUGUUGCUGAAUAAACUAGGAAAUGCACCAGAAUUAUAAUUAUGAUUCAUUCAGUCAAAAGUACUAUCAAAUUGAAUGUAACAAAAUUUACUAAUGUUUUCUCAAUAAUAACUGAAAACUAAAUUGAAGGACAAUAAAGGACCUAGAGUCACCGGUUAUGGUAUUUCUCUGUGGCAGGCAUUAGGGAGUGGACUUAUUUGGAUAUGUGAAAAACUAAUGCCACUUUGAAAAAUGAAAUGAAGAAGAAAGAAAACAAAGGAAAAUAGAGGAAAAUAGCUAUCCAAGUUCCCACUUCCUCAAUUACUCUUCUAUAUUAAUUCAUCAUGCCUAAAAACGAGUUUUACCACUGAUUUUGGUUUUGAAGUGUUGUCUAUCGACGGCCACCAGCUUUCCUCACUGGUGGAGCUGCAUCUUCAUCAUCUGAUGGGACAUCACCAUAUUGCCAGAUAUUCAACCUCUCCUUUUUAGCUUUUUCUUGGAACUCUUUGAGACUUUUGAGAGCUGCCUUUUUCUCUCUACUGGUCCAUCUCUUCCUUGUUUCUAACUUAGCAAGUCCUUCCUGCAAGGUUACAACAAAAUCAAACCAACAUACCUAAAAUUUUUAUAUAAUAUUCAAGUCUAUGUGAUUCAAAUGGGUACAAAUAGUAUUGCAGGUCAAGCUCUGAAACAACAACAAUAUUCAGAUCAAAGAGACUUCAAUAUACAUUCUUGCAAAAUCAUGAAUUUUGUUUAUAUUCCUGCAAAACUUUUGCUUAUAUAUCCUUGAAGGUUCGUUUUCUUACAAAAAUGACAUACAUGAAAUUUCAACUAAUUUUUAAGUACAAGAAAUUAAUUUUUUUGCAGGGCAUUCACGAAAACUUGGAUUUUGAAGCAUAUAAUUGUAAUUACAUAAUGUUGCUGUAAAUAUUGCAAGAUAUAAAUAAAUAAGCAAUCAAAGGAUAGGGACAGUUCUCGAACCUUCAGCAUUGCCGCAUUAAUGCUAGUAUCAUCUUCCUCAUCUACCAGAGUUAAAGCAUUAGGCAAAAACUAUUCUAGUCCCGUCCUUUUAACUUUCCCACCUGAACUAAAUUUAUCUUCAACUAUAGCCUUCCACUCUUUGGACCUCUUUUAAAGUGCGCCGCUCAGAUAAGCCAUGGCUUCAUAGCCAAAGUCGUCCUCUAUAUCUGGCAGUUUUAUGUAUGCUAGUUUGCAUAGUUGGGCCAAACCAGGCUCAGAAGAAACUGAGUCUAGAGACCGUAAGCGACAGUAGGGAACCGUUUCCUGAUUCCCAUAGUCAAUGUAGACAAUCUCAAAUUUGUCAUUUGGUGAAUGAAUAGCCCCUUGAGGUCCGUCGACAAUCUUCAAAAUGCACAUGAAAGGAAAAUAACUGAAGGAUUGGUAAAAAAUCAUGAUAAAAUAAAACUAAUGCAGGUAACUGAACUGUAUAUUACAAGCAUGUAUAAAAUUAUGCAAAGCAAUCCUUCGUGAAAUAUCAAAGUUGACUACAUAAUACUAAAGCAGCUAAACGCUCAUCAUUCAGCAGCUACUCCACAUCUCCAGUUUCAAAUUGAAUCAAUGUAGGUGAUAGUUACUUCUAUCUAAAACAUAUGUGGAAGGAUUUCGAAUUUCUGAAAUAAAAAUUGUUACCGAUUAUAUAUAGUUUUAGUAACAAUACUGAUUCCAACAAAGGGGUCGUUUCAGUUAAAGAUCUGAACAUUAGAAGUUCUGAAGUGCUGAUAACUUAUAUGGUGGGAUCCAGUUAAGGAGAACCAUCAAUGGAAGGAAAUAGAUGUUUCACUUUAGCAAUAUGCCUCUACCUUUGAGAAUGAGGGGUCCAACACGGCCAUCACUGCUAUAUCCUAGGUGAGGCCAGUUGCCGCAACUGUGAAAAGAAGAGAAAGAAGGGAGAGGAAGAUUAAUUGAAUACAGACCACUGGUAAGGUGACCCCUUGGUGCAAUUUACAAGGCAAACUUUUAAUUGCUAAUCUAAAGAAAUUUUAGCUGGCCCUCUGAACUGAUAAUUAUUGUCAUGAUAACUACAAGGGAAUUAGAAAGAACUAAACAAUCUAAAUACUCAUUACUUUUCUAAUUCCCCCUAAAUACAAGGAAUAUCACCAUAUCCUCUAAUUUAGUUGCAAAUUAAUUAACCCAAUAUAUAAGAGCGAAAAAGGAAACAUUUCAAUUGCCGAAAUGAAGUUAAUAAGAAUUACUUAGCUAAAACGUAGAAAGAAAUAAUGGAGUUCUGAAAUAAUGAAAGUUUCUUUCCAAAAUUAUUCACUAAUGAAUGCAUAGAGAAUCACAAUGAUGUUGAUGCUUACCAUAGCUCUGUUCCAAGAAUUAUCAAGAGAGAACUGAGAAAGAACUAUAUCACCCUUCGCAGGAUUAAAAGCGCCAAUUACUGUUAACACUUAGCGAAGCAAGCUGCUGCUCAAUAGCAGCUAAUUUUUGAUUGCCCACUGUUUGGACAUAAAAAUUGGCACUGCCAAGGACCUCAGUAACCACAACCUGGAGGAAAAAAAAAAAGGAAAGAAAAGAAAGAAAAUGUAUCAACUAGUCACAACAAGACACAAAUGCAAAUUAAUUUUAGCAGCAGCAGGUACCUUUAAAACUUUAUUCUGCUUGUUUUCAGUGUUGGAACCAUUGUGUACUUGGCCCUCAACAUACCUAUAUGAAUAAAGGGUAGAGAUUAUCUCGAGAAAAGAUGAAGCAUGAUAAACUGGAAAGAGAUUUAUAGUUACAUUUUUUUUUAAGAACUGCACUUUCCAAAGCAUCAUUUUUAUACUUUAAAAGGCUUAAAAAAUUCAAAAGAUUCCAAUCUUUCCUCCUCCAAUGUUCUAAAUUGUAGCAGAAACCGCCACCAGAAAAGCAUGUGGUUACAUACUUCUCCGGUGGCGAUUGCUACUGCAAUUUUAAACUAAAAAAGGAGGGAAGAUUGAAAAUUUUGGAUUUUUCUUUUUUAUUGACCUUCCAUAGUAUGAAAGUUCUGCUUUUAGCCACUACAUCACCAAACUAGGUCUUACUGCUGCUUAUUUUCAAUUUCUUAUUUUUUGCAGAUUGUUCAGCCUGCACAAGGAGUCGAGAGUCUGGGAUCCUUUCUACUCCAAAAGACGUCUGAAUCAUAUUCAAGUCCCGCUUCCAAAAGAGUUACAGCCAUAUUGGUCUUUGAUUCACGAAGAGAACCUAAGAAAGUUCCUGUCCUGUCCACCGUCUCCACUUCAAUCUGUGUCCGAAGUUGCAUAACAUGUGAGAGUACCGAGUACAGAGUAUAGUUAUAAAAUGCACAAUGUCUAAUUGGAGAUGAUGUUUGUUUAGAUUGUGCGCAUCUUCAUCCUAUACCAUUUCUAUUUUUUACUAUUUUGCUACUCAGAUUGUGCGCAUCUUCAUCCUAUACCAUUUCUAUUUUUUACUAUUUUGCUACUCUCUGUCUCUUACUCAUUACAUAAUUUGACUAAUUAAAUCUUUCAUUGAAAAUGAUGGUAUUUUUCUCAGUACUAUUAUUUACAGAAGUUUAAGUAAGCACCUCGACAUCCCUCUGAAGAACCUUCCUUCUCAUUAGAGUAGUUGCUUCGUGCGAAAGGGCUCAUCCCUACCAAGGCACUUAACACCAGAAAAGGAAAAGGCAAUGGUCCAUGUAUCCUUUGGGAUCAACAUGGCCACUUAGGACGUGUUCCACAACAGCUAGGAGACUUUUAACAAAAAAAUGGCAAGAAGUCUUUUGCUUUCUUUGCUGAUGACUAGAUAAAAUAAGAUGUUAGUAUCACUACACUGAGAAGAUCAAUUUUACUAGAAAACACCAAAAAGAGCUCUAGGGGAUCUUGUCUUUACAAGCAUAUGUAUCCCUGGAAAAUCAUCUAUUUGCGUAUAUACCUCAAUAAAUUCAGAAUUCUCAUAUCAAGUUAGGAGUCAUAAAUGCAUGGUGAAAGUUGGCUUUUGUUAGAAUGGUGCAAAAAUUGGAGAAUUUUUGGAAGUAAUAAGGUGUAUGAGCAAGAACUAAAGGUUUUGAAGGGUGUAAAUGGAGACCAGAUGUCGCGUGAACAUAUAUGUAAAUAGCUAAUCAUGCAGAGACACAUAUAUAAAUAUCUCCAAACAGGAAAGCUCCAUACUGUUGUUAGAUCAGUAACGUGCAUCACCGAAGGACUUGGCGGAACGAAUCCCUUUCUUUCCACUAAUGGUGCUUGACUCAGCUGCCAGCAAAGCAUCAUAAUAGUUCGAGCGCUCCUCAAAAUCUCGGCAUCUGAUUACGGUAGCAACCGUACAGAGGUACAUACAUAAAUAUCUCCAAACAGGAAAGCUCCAUACUGUUGUUAGAUCAGUAAUGUGCAUCGCUGGAGGAUCCUUGGCGGAAUGAAUCCCUUUCUUUCCUCUAAUGGCGCAUGACUCAGCUGCCAGCAAAGCAUCAUAAUAGUUAGAGUACUCCUCAAAAUUUCGGUGUCUGAUUACGGUAGCAAUCAUACAGAGGUACGCAUAAAUAUCUCCAAAUAGGAAAGCUCCAUACUGUUGUUAGAUCAAAAAUGUGCACCACCGGAGGAUCCUUAGCGGAAUGAAUCCCUUUCUUUCCACUAAUGGCGCGUGGCUCAGCUGCCAGAAAAGCAUCAUAAUAGUUCGACGCUCCUCAAAACCUCAGUGUCUGAUUACGGUAGCAAACCCACGUGCAACCACGAGUUCUGCAACAUUUGCUCCUGCUUGACUUUGACCACUGGCAGAAGGCGGUGGGGGAGAGCUGUUGUCAUUCUCAGCUUUGGAUGGAGAUAUUAAGAAGACUGAACCGAAAUCCAUGACUCAAAAAUCAGCUUGCCCAGCAGGACCAUCGGAGUUGAAUCCAUCCAACAGGCUUACCUUCCUAGAAUACUCCACUGACACAUUCACCUGAAAAAUAAAAAUGAAAGAUCUCCUACUAAAGAUUCUUCUACCAUAAGGACCUGAGGCCAAUUUUAACUGCUCCAAGAUACUUCACUUUGUUACCCAAACGCAAACAGUACAUUGUGCGAGAAACCGCAAGCAUCAAAAAAUAAAAUAGAUUUAAAUUAAAAGAGCACAGUGCAAUCACCCAAAACUAAUCGACUCCUAGAGAAAGGGGAAAAAAAGUGGGAUUGGAGGGUGAACAAUAAGUAACUCUCUACUGACCUACAGCUGCUACUUGUACAUUUUGAAUUCUCAGGUAUUUAAUACAUAAAUAAGGUUCCCCACAAAACCUUCACUACCUAGUUUGUUAAACAGAGAUAGUGAUGCCAAUCGUUGUACUUUGAUAUUUUCAACUCUCUCCCUGAAGCCAAAGGUCCGAUACAUCAGCUACUUUGCUCAAUAAGGAAAAAAUCCUGAGAAAAAAAUAAGGCCCCAAUGUCAGCAAAAAGACCAAAUACGUAACUAUAAGUUUUAGUGUGAAUGAAAUUAAAUGGCUGAAGUGAUUAAAACUAGCUCAAAUAUCAUAUCCCCUGAUUACAAAAUUUGUUGUACCACAGGAUACUGAGCAAAAAACAUUCCUACUUUCAUCGUCAAUCAGUAGAUAAGGAAGCUAAAAGAUAUUACAAACAGGCUACCUCAUCAUUUUACCGACCGCCAAAAGUAAAAUAUGUUGAUGGUUUCUGCAAUCAACGUUUAGAACUAAGAAGUUACCAAAAAUAAAUGAUGAAAUAUCCUUCUUAUUGCCUGUAGCUACGUAAGUGCAGAAAAUGCCACACACCUAUUAUUAGUUCCAUUUGGGUAGUGCUAUGUUCCAAUCUCCAAUGAAUAAAUGCUGCCGUAAAUUAUUUGUUAGGCCAUUUGAAUGAGGGAAAAGAAUAUGCCGUCCCACAUUUGGUUCCAGCAAAAUGAAACUUAUUACAUAGAGAAGCAAAAACGUUUAGCUAAACAGAGAAGUAUGCAAAUAUCAUAAUGAGGAAGAUUUCUCCCGACACUAGAAAUAGGAAGAUUUCCCCCGACUGGUAUGUUAGUAAACUUAAAAUAGAAGUCCCAAAUUCACUAAAAGCAUGCCACAACAGUAUCUCUGAGUGUAGAAUCAUGCCAACUAAUAACUCUACUGAGUGAGAUGACUUAAAACUAGGUUGUAGAUGGCCUAACAUAGGCAUUUUAUGUUAUUUUCCAUUCAAAAUUGCAUGAACGUAUAAUUAACAAGUGUAGAGCAGGCGUGCAUAUCGCAACAUCUUGUUCCAACUUUGGAAGGUACUAAAAUUCUUAUGCUGCCAAGGGAAGGUGUAAAUAGCGAAUUCUCUUUGCAUGCAUCCUAGUUCCAAUAAGACAUAUUUUACCCAGGACAUGCCAAACUAAGCUGAGCGUUGUUAUAUUCUGAUAGAAAUUUGACAAAUUGAAUUUCUCGAAACUCUACAAUGUUAAAUCUACUCCAAUAUGAAAUGGAGAUAUAAAUGUAAGAUUAUACACUUUGAAAUAUAAGCGUUCUCCCAAAUAUCAAGUAUUCCAUGUAUUCUUUUGACCUCCUACAUAUCGAGAGGUAAAUGCUUACUAAGGUUGCAUAGGAAAUAAAAGCAGCUGAGACAAGGAAAGAAAGAGCCUUUACCUCAGAUCCUGCACCGCAGUUCACUCAUCAAGCAUAUCUCCAUUGCCGCCCCCACCGAGUUCCUCUUCUUCCUUCCUCAACCGCCCACACACAUUGCAUUCCAAUACAUUCGACAGCGUACCAUCUGCUGACGGCGGCAGAGGAGCCAACGUCCCCCCACAAUUCUCCCUAUCACAAAGGAACCUCACGAAGAAGUAGGCAUGAGGGAAAUCCCCGUCCCAGUCCCCGUCCUCGUCCUCCCCUUCUUCUUCCGCCUCCAUCUCUUCCCCAUCCUCCUCUGCUCCUUCGCCCUCCUCCAUCCUCUCCUCUUCACCGCCGUCCUCAUCAUCGUCUUGGUCGCGGUCGUUCUCCUUCCACUGGCUCUCCACUCGGCACCGAUCGCACUCGCACCGGAAUCCGUAGUCCUCCAGCAGCCGCGUCUGCCUCUCCUUGUAGCUCCAGUUGGCGGGGAAGUAGCUGAUGCACACCUCCCUCCCUUGGGGGAUCUCGUGCAGCGCCCUGACGGUCAAAUCGGCGUUCCGGUCGCCGGGCCCGUCGACGUAGUCGAAGCGGCAGGCGUUGGGGAGGCAGUCGUGGUUGAAGAAGGCGGCGUCGGGGUAGAUCCCGUAGGCGCGGACUCCCCGGGUGGGCGCGGGGCCGGGGGCGGGGGCGGCGGCGGAGGGCUCCAUGAGGGCGAAGGCGUUGGUCUUGUCCCUGGCGAGGAGGGCGGCGGUGAGGUCGGGGGAGAAGGAGCCGGGGAGGAGGUCGCGGGGGAGAUGGAGGGAGGAGAGGAGGAGGGAGUGGAGGGCUAGGGCUUCGGGCGGGGCGGAGGCGGAGGCGGAGGCGGAGGCGGAGGAGGAGAGGGAGAGGAGGCGGAGGAGGGAGGGGGAGGGGAGGGAGUAGGCGGAGAGGAGGAAGAGGAGGGAGGGGAUGAGGUCGGGGGAGAGGGAGGAGGAGGCCUUGGAGAGGAGGGGGAGGGCGCGGCAGAGGAGGACGGGGUGGGAGUGGGAGUGGGAGUGGGAGCAGCAGCAGCAGGGGCAGAAGAAGGCGAGGGAGCAGGAGGGGCAGCGGAGAGGAGGAGGAGAAAGGGGUAGGGAGCGGAAGCAGCGGGAGCAGUAGGAGGAGAGGGCGGCGAGGGAGGAGGGGUAGAGGAGGAGCGGCGAGUCUGCCAGCACCACCUCGCCCGGAAGGAUGCGCCGGCUCGCCACCAGGGCCCGCCCCCGCCCGGCGACUUCGCUAACGCGGACCAGAGGAGAACAGGGAGACGGCGACGCUGAGGACGAUGACGCCGCCGCACCCGCCAUGCUUGCUGCUUGCAACUGCUUCUACCGCCGCCGCAGCUGCCAGGUAAGGAGAGGGAGAGACGAGAGAGAUCUUCUCCACCUCGUUGCUUAAUAAAUUUGUUUACACAAGAUAGUCCUUUUACAUUGCCCGUACUUGGAGUUAGACCUGCGAGUACAAUCCAACCGAGUUAUUUUCGGGCCGUUUGGAUCAAACCCAACAUAAUAUGGACUUUUUAGAUUUUGCAGUCCAGUCAAAGUCGAAUCUAAAUUGAUCGGAAGCCCAAGCCCAAACCCAAUCUACAUUGUUGCCCAUGUUUAUAUAUUUAUUGUACAUAUCAUAUAUAUAUAUAUAUAUAUAUAUAUAUGAGUUGGACUGGGCUACUAUUAGUAGCAAAAUUCCAUUGUUGCUACCAGUUUUUUAGCCUUUGGAUCAAUUCUUUUCAUUAUUUCUAACCAUUGGAUUAAAUACUAUAACCCAGUGGGGACCACUCAACCCUAGGGGGACCACUCAACUCUAACCGACUAAUAUCAUCCUGACUCUACAAUUUUUCAUCAAAGGGUUAAAAAAAUUUGAUAGCAAAAAGAGCGCUUUACUAUUAAUAGUAUCCCAACCUAAUUCUAUAUAUAAGGUGCAGGAAGUGUCCAAUUUGAGUCUAAUCUUAGGGGUCCAGAAUUUCCAGGGUGUGGAAAAAAUAUUGCAUUGUGAAAAAAAAAUAAUAAUAAAUUAAUUAAAGAAUAGUGAUCCAUGGUGGACCAGGUCCAAUGAAUAAUUUUGAAGUAGACUCGGAAAAAGUACAGUAAUAUGAUAGGAAAGGCACCUGGGAAGGCACCCUACCUAGAUGGGGAUUAGAGGAUUUUACAACAUCACACUUAUAUCACGUCAUCAAUAACAAAUUAAUCAUAUUUCUUCUUUUCAAACAAAAGUAUAAUAAAAAUAUUUUUUUAUAGUUAUGAUGAAAUAUAUAUCUCUAAAAAAAAAUAUUUGAUUGAUUUAUUACGCCACGUCACUAAUAUACCCAGCGCAUUCUAUAAUUUUUUUGGGAACUGAGGGGGAGAGACAAGGAUUGUGAUGCGUGCGCUAGUGUACAAGAUUACGUCGAUUUUGUUGUUCGUGCUCGCUCAAACCCACUCCUCGAUUGCGUUCGCAUCGCGCCCAGCCCGAUCCGAACCAACUCCUUGCGCCUAAGGACAAGACAUUUCAAUAAAUAAUAUUAAUCAUUUUCCUUAACAAAGUAGAGCAUACUAUCAAAAUUUUUAGAUAAGAUGAAUUUCAAAAGAUGCAUAUCAAACUUCGACCCCUUAGCCACGCGUAUAUAUGCAAGGAUACAAGGGAGAAAAAAACACCAAUUGCGCAGAUUUUCUGCAGCAUCACUUAGGAUGGCUAUAAGUUUGACCACCAGCAAUAAAAAUAAUAUAAAAAAAAGUUAAUCUUAUAUAGAGUCUUGUUAAAAAAUUAAGUAACAGACAUAUUCUUUGAGCAGUUAGGUUGUCAAAUUUGUUCGUAAUUAAGCAAUGCAUGUGUGUAUGAUCUUGCUUAUAAAUUGGCAACAGACUUUAUUCUCGCCUAUGCUAGACUGUGUUGCACUUCUCCUAACGUAUGUGCCUUCCUUUUGUUAUUGUACGAUGCCUCCCCAUAAUACUUUGAGAUAAAUUUAUCCUAAUUAUAUGCAUAGUUCAUUAAUCUAAUAAUACGAAGUACCAGUUGUAACCAAAUAUUUCUAGCUAGUCAACAUCUAGUUGUCCUUAAGACAUUUCCAAAAUGACCCCGUAAACAUUACAUGAGAAUCAAACUGAGUACAGAAUAAUCAGAGUACAGUAUGACCCAAAAUACUCCUAUCACAAAUGUGAGGUUCUAAGAAUAACAAUGUUUAUAAAUUUAAAUUUUUUAUUUUUUAUUUUUUUUCUCUUCAGAAGCUGCUGAUUCCAACGCGUCCCGCUCCACUCAUUAGGCCUCAAAGCUUUUCCCUAAUCAUAGAGGGUAAAAGCCUAAGCAAUUUGCUCAGCAAUUUGUCUAAAAUGCUCCUAACAUGUGACAAAUUUCACACUCAAAACUAUGGUGACUCUUGGUGCCUUAUGGGAGAAACCGGGGGGCAAAACUAGGACAGGGAAAUACCAUUAACCUUUCUAGGCACUCCAACGUACAAUUCCUGAGUUGUCCCAAACUCCCAAUAUGUGCCCAAAACAAAUAAAAAUAAUAAAUAAAGUCCGCAUGAAUUGAAAUUACUAAACUACCCCCACAGAACCUGUGUGUAUGUAUAUAAAGCCCCAGGAUAACAACACCAUGUAGCAACCACAACUUGGACUUGGCUAUUCUCUCUGUACAUGCUCUGUUCUCAAACUCCUCGCAACAACCCACAAACUAAUUAAGCUUCGUCCUCUUCUUCCUCUUCAACAUUAACAAGAGAGAGAUAUGGCUAAGGAAGAAGACCUUAAGGUGAGCUAUCGCUCUCUCUUUCUCUCUCUUGAUCUCGAUGUCGAUCUCUUUCGAAACUAAUUGUUAUCCCUCCGUGCAGAGAGUUGAUUUGAAGGUAACUGUGAACUGUUGCGAGGGGUGCAAGAGAAAGGUGGCGAAAGCAAUGAGCAUCAAAGGUCUUAAUCGUCACCUAUGCAUUCAUUUAUUUUUCGUUCUCUGUAACUUCUUUAUCCUGUAUUAAUUACUGAUGCUCGUACUCUGUUUUUGAUGCUUUGUUUUUUGCUCUGUUUGAUAACUAGAACUCCUAUCAAUCUUCAGGUGUGUUGAAAACAGAGAUACAUCCAACCCUCCCGAAGAUCACUGUUAUCGGCACCGUCGACACGAAAACACUGAUAAGGAAACUGGCGAAGAUAGGAAAGACCGCAGAAAUAUUACCCGACGAGACCCAGAAGCCAAAGAACGAAGAGAGGAGCUCCGACGACAAAGCAGAGAAAGCCGGCGAUAAACAAAAGGAAAAGGAAGGGAACUGGCCCGAGAAAAUGGCUGAUGAUAGCAAAAGCUAUGAAAAUAAAGUUGAAAAAAAGAAGGCAGAAAAGGGAAAGAAGGAAACCAAACAAGGAAAAGAGUGCUCUGUUUCUGAAGAAUCUAAAGUCAUGUACCCAACAGUUGUGGCAGCUAUUCCGCAGGUUAGUUACGGCGUAAACCGGAUUGGUGUGGUGGAAAGAAGUGUUGAUAACAAUCCAAUGGGGAUUAAUCAGCAACAGGUGUACGGUCAAAUGCAGCCUGUUAUGUUUCCCAUGCCCUAUUAUGCGGCCAUGAACGCUUACUCUGCUCCUAUGCAGUAUGGGUUUCAGUACAACGGGGCUCGUCAUGAGCCCCCGGUCUACUGCCCCUUGCCGCCACCACCGCCACCGCCGCCGCCGCCGAUGCAAUCGCCAGCUUCAGGGUUCACUGACUUCUUCGAUGAGGAUAACACUGUUGGGUGUUAUGUGAUGUGAGCAAGUAAUCCGAAUCUAUUAAUUAUUGGUGUUUUCUUUUUUUUUUUUUGUUUUCUGUGGGGUUCGGUGCUGGAUUUAGUUCAGGGAAGAGGAGAUGAGUUGAUUUGAUUUCAGCUUUAUUUCUUGUUCAAAAAUUAAAAAGAGAACUUAUCCGUCUCUCUUACACACGCGCAUGUGAACAGAAACAACUUAUUCAUACUGAAUACAAUUGUGGUGGGAAAGGAACUGCAGAUUACCGAUUCAAGUAAAACUGUUCGAAGAAGUUCUUACUUUACUAUUUUUCUUCUUAUUAAAUUAGGUGCGGAAGUAUUGCACUACAGCUCUAAAAGGAAAGCGUCACAUUUACAUUUUCAUUUUUUUCAAGGUCAACAAAGGUUCAUUUCAUGUUUACACCAUAGUUAGAAAAUUUGAUCUUUUAGAAAUUCUUAGCAAUUGAGUCAGCGAAUACAUUGGUCUCAUAGCUUCACAAACUCUCAUUUCUCAGACCUUCGGUGUGAAAUUGAGCUUGUGAACUAACAACUCCUCAGUCAAUCUGUACACUUUCACAUAGAAUUCUUGUCUAGCACGCCAGCACGUCACAAGCACUCGGCGAUCACGAGUUACCAAGGUUGCUAGGCGAGUUCAAGUGGAACAAACAAGCUCUAUUAACUAAAAAAUCAUUUUCCUUCUCAAAUAGACUGAGUUUUGCAAAAUACAGUAUCUCUAUCAUGCAACCAUAAUAUAUACUCGCCAUAGACGUUACUUUUCCACUCCUUUAUAUCCUAUUAACUUUGACUUUGCAAAUCUAGGAGAGGUCAUUCUAGUUUAUUAAAUUUAAAAUCAAAUAUUAUUCUCUUUUGGCUUUUGCAAUCGAGAAAGGGUUGGAGCAAUGCUAUAAGGUGUGAUCACAUCAGUAUAUAUAAAAAGCUUUAGAAAAACAUACCGAGGGUGGAUUGGAGGAGGAAAAUUUUGGCUCAAGCUUUUUGAAGAAGUUGGUGGAUGCUUAAUGCUUUUUGGAAAGAGCGUGCGGUAGCUGAAGACCAGUUUUGGGUCCAUGCAUGGGGAAUAAAGUGUAGGGGGGGAGAAAAAAGAAAAGCAUUAAAAACCAUCUAAUCUAAAAUCUAAUUUUUUGAUCAUGAGCCUUCGAAUUCGUACAUUGCAUGGGCACGGUGGUUACAACACGUGUAUUCCCUUUAUUCGCGGUCAAUGGUCGUCGUAAGACUUCGAAUGAAAUCUUAACGGUAUUUGUACGAGCCACUGGGAAGCUACAGGAACCCCUUUCAAUUUCUAGGGGGCGAAUAACUAAAGUAAAUGGGGUCCCACCAGACCGGGGCGGUGGCCCGGCCUGAUUUUGGAUGGGAUGGGCCUGUUUAGGUCAGUUUUUUGGGCCGGACUAUUAAACAAUCGAAUCGAACCCAAUCCACCAUUUGCUCGAAUCGUGAUGCGGGAUCGACGAGUGACGCAGCGCCAUUGCCGUACGACGUCCCUUUGUGCCAGAUCCACAACAGGAAACAUCGAAAGUUUCCAAUCUGAUAACGCCACGAAGACAACGCUCCGUGCUAUAAAGUGAACGGGAUGUUUCGUCGACCGAAGCGGCAACCCUAGCGCGGCCCCCAAAACCCCAUCGUCUCCCUCCCCGUUCCCCAUCUCUUCUCACUCCUCUCUCCGCUUCCCCCCUCUUUCUCUCUCUCGGUUCAAUCUAUGCGAGCUCCAUUUUGUGUUGUUGCAUUUCUGCUUCUCGACAUCUAUAUGUAGAGGCCCUUCUCUUUGGAUCUAGUGUUUUUUUUUUUUUUUUGUAAUUUUUUUCGUUUGUUUAAUAAGCGCAGGGUAUAUUUUAGUUUAUAUCGGCAAAAAAAAGAUCUAAGGAUCAGUUCGGAUUAUUGGUUUUUGGUUUUGAUUGCUUAGCAUUGUAUAGCGAGAGGGAUUGUUAUGUUUUUUAGAAAUAUAGGUAGAGUGAUUUGACUUUGUGCUUAAUAGGAAUAGCUUUAUUGCUCGUCAUAUGAGGGUAUUUAACUCUCACGUUUGCAUCUGUUAUGUCUUCUUCUUCUUCUUCUUCUUCUUCUUCUUAUUGUUGUGCAUUUAAUGGGUUGUAUUCGAGGAUGAGCAAAUAUUUUCGAUCUUCUGAGGGUGGUGAACUUUAUUCCACUCAUGCGGAAUCAAUCUUGGAGACCUGAACUGAGAAUACCCAUCUCAACCCAAAAAAACCAAAAAAAGAAAAUCCUUUUUUUUUCCUUUUAUUUUGGGCCCCGAAUUUUUUUGGGUAUUUUUGUUUUUUUUUUCGCUGUAGUUUGGUUUCCGAUGAUGAUCAGAGCAAAAACUUUCGUUCUUCCGAGGCAUUUGCUAUGCAAUGCGGAGGAUUCAUGGAGACCUGAACUGAGGAGACCCGAUUUAACGCUUUGCUUUUGGAAUUUGUUUUUUUUCCUUUAUCUUUUCUAAAAAGGUAUAGUUUUUAUUUUAAUGCUAAUUAGCCGAUUUGAAUCCCAAUGAAGAUCACUCAUAUGGAUUAAAGUAGUGGGCUGAAAUCAUGUGAUGAAUGGUAUGUUCUGAUCCUGAGGGAUAAUUUUAUCGCUACAUAAAAGAAUGAUUUUGAUCCUUUUUUCUAUGCUGAAAUAUACUUUAGUUAAGAGUCGUUUCAUUCUCUUCCCUGAUGGAGGGAUUUACCAUUACUCGUUGAUUUCUCCCUAGGUUUCUAGUAGCUUUUUUAUACUAUAAUUAAGUGUUGUAGUUGCUUCAUUUCUAGUUUGAACUGAACUUUUAUUCUUAGUUUUUCUUCAUAUGAAGUCUAUAAGCUUUUAUUCUUCUUCAGUUCACAAGGCUCCCGAUGAUUGAAUCAAACAUCAUCAGUUUCAGCCUUGUCUGAAUACACUAUUUGUUGAAAUCUAAAGCUUUUCUGAGGGAGCCGCCCCUACUGACUUUUUUAAAUGGAAGAACUUCAAAUAUUUCCCCUUGCGGGUCAGCGCUUUCUCGCUUUACUACCUUGUGUUUUGAAAUGUAUUAUUUUAGCAUCCUGUGAAUUUAUUUUUCUCUUUCCAUCAGAAUUUUCAUUUACUCUCCAUUAAAAUAUAUAUAAAAAAAAUUUCACAUAUCUUCCUGUGGAUUAUCAAAUAUUCACUUUAGUAUUCUGUGUUCAUAUGCUGAUCUUCAUUUUGAGCAGAUAAUUUUACUACUUGCAUUACUGGAUCUGUACUAGUUGCUUUGCCUGAUCGAUAUUGAUUGUUCUCAUUUUGAACAAAGUUUGCACCUAUCUGGAAAAUUUUGCGUUUUGUGCGGUUCAAUGAUGGCUAUGAAGUGCACAAGAGGCGAAGAGGAGGCCGAAGAUUACAGCGCGCACUGGAAUUGCAAGCGAAAAAGUUGAUCUAUGCCUGAUAGGGUAGGGUGAGUGCCAAGCAUCUUGCUAUCUAUCUCCGAGGACGACGAGGGCCUUUUCUUGUGAAUUCAUCUUAUGUCUGUCUACUGCAUAUAGCCUUGUUUCUGAUGAUAAAACAAGUGCUAGUGUCUGUUCAGUUCUUUUUCUUUUUUGGGUUUUUGGGCAGGUCUCUGUUCUGGUUGUUAAUGAUGGUUUCUGAAUUUUGUUUGAAUUUUGAGAUUCGAAGCUAUUAUUGUGUAUUCAGUUUUUUGCACAGCUAUACCUUGUGAAAGAAAUGAAUAAGCGUGCGGCAGAGUGUUAUUCUAUGGUGCAUUUUUUUCAUGAUCCCUUUGUAAGGAAGCUGCUUUGGACCAGCCAGUUUUUACUUCUCUGUUACCGCUUGCAUAGUUCAAAAUUCUGAGCCGGAAAUAAAAGUAAAGCAAUUUGGUGCCUCUGAAAGAAAAUUGCACGAGUUUGGGAAUCUUUACUGUAAUGUGCAGGUGAAAUAAACCUUGUAAAAGCUGGCAAAUUAAAAAAAUAAAUUAAUCGAUCACAUCAUAUGUGUAGCAGGGAACUGCUUGUUCUUGAAGCAAAAAUUUCACAUCUGUGUAAUAUAAAAUUUACUAUCUGAAUUUUAAGAGGUAAUACCUUAAAAAACGGCCAGACCCUCGUAUGGAAAAUUUCAUAUAUCUGCCUCUUUCGUUCCUUCAAUUUUCAUCCAUCCACCUUUCCUUACAAUUUCCAGGGGAAGAAUAAAUGGGCGGAAUUGGGUCCCACCAGGUCGAGGCCUUGGCCCGGCCCGAUUUUGGACGGACUGGGCCUGUUCAGGUCUGGGUUCAUUGGGCCGGACUUUUAAAAAAUCGUGCCGAACCCAAUCCACCAUUUACUCGAAUCGUGAUGCAGGAUCGACGGUUGACACUUGACAGCGCCAUUGCCGUACGACGUGCCUUUGUACGAGAUCCACAACGGGAAACAUCGAAAGCUUCCAUUCUAAGAACGCCACGAGGACAAAGCUCCGUGCUAUAAAGUGAACGGGAUAUUUCGUCGAACGAAGCGGAAACCCUAGCGCGGCCCCCAAAACCCCAUCGUCUCCCUCCCCGUUCCUCGUCUCUUCUCACUCCUCUCUCCGCUCUCUCUCGCUCUCAAGGUAACAUUCCCCUCUCUCUCGCUCUCUCUCUCGAUUCAAUCUAUGCGAGCUCCAUUUUGUGUUGUUACAUUUCUGCUUCUCGAGAUCUAUAUAUAGAGGCCCUUCUCUUAGGAUCUAGGUUUUUCUUCUUCCUUUUUUUUUUUGUAAUUUUUCGUUUAUUUAAUGAGCACAUGCUAUUUUCUAGUUUAUAUCGGCAAAACAAGAUCUAAGAAUCAGUUCGAAUUAUUGGUAUUUUGUUUUGAUUGCUUAAGCAUUGGAUAGCGAGAGGGAUUUUUGUGAUUUUUAGAAAUUUAGGUAGAGUGAUUUGACUUUCUGCUUAAUAGGAAUAGUUUUAUAGAUUGUCAUAUGACGGUAUUUAACUCUCAGCUUUGCAUCUUUGAGCAAGCUUUUGCUCUUCAGUGGGACACUCUACUCUUUUUUCUAUUUUUUUUAUCCUGGAAUUGUGGUGCAUUGAGUGUAAAAGCAAGUGGUGGUGACUAGGUUGUAAUAGGGCUUUGAAAUUUUACCCUGCUUUUGAACAUGACAAUGAUUGAUGGAGAUGGGUAGAGCAUCGUAAUCUAGUUCUGAAGGAAAAGCUUUUUUUGCGUUUUAUACAACUAUAGUGCUCUUUCUAUGUGGCAUAAGGAUCUCAACAACUCUUAAAGGCCUUAGAUUGAUUACUCAUUCAUCAUGUUCUUUCGUGCAGAUGAAUGUCGAAAAGCUCAAGAAGAUGGCCGGUGCUGUUCGCACUGGUGGAAAAGGCAGUAUGCGCAGGUUCUGCAUAUUUUUACUUACUAUUAUAUGAAUAUAUUUAUUACUGUCUGAAAACAAAGUUUAAAAGGAGGCAAUUAAACUUCUUAAAAGUGAUGGGGUUGAGUUAUGCGAAUUGUUGGUGGCGUUGAUUGAUCAAGAGGAAGCUAAUUUUCUUUUUCUUUUUGUUUGUAACACUGUAAAUGUUAUAGUGGCUUGUGGGAUAUGAUUUUCACUUUCUUUAUGAAUUGAAGCAUCAAAAAUACAAUCUUGUUUUUCUUUCUCCUGACUUUCCUAAGUAGGCAAGAGAUUACGUUUGAUAUGAUUUGCCAUAACUGUUGAUAGUAUAAUUGCCAGGGAAUUCACUUUACUCCUUUGAUGCCAUUUUUAUUUCUCAUUCUGUUAUCAUCUGAAGUCGAUAAGAAUAUACAGCAUAGAUAAUGAUAUACAACUGUUGAUAUUACAGUGCGGCAGUCCUUUUUUUAGUAAAGAAGGGUUACACUUCGUCUGAAAUUUAUUUAUUCUUCCUUCACAUGUUUCAAAUAGGAAGAAGAAGGCUGUUCAUAAGGCAACGACAACUGAUGACAAACGGUUGCAAAGCACUUUGAAAAGAGUAGGAGUGAACGCCAUACCAGCUAUUGAAGAAGUUAACAUUUUUAAAGAUGAUCUUGUUAUCCAAUUUCUUAAUCCUAAAGGUUUGUACUUCAUUGCAGUAGUAGAGUGACAUAGACUGCAGGUUGGAGAUACAACUAUUCUCUUAUUAAUUUGGCUUGUUUUGUUUUCAGUGCAAGCUUCCAUUGCAGCCAACACAUGGGUGGUUAGCGGUUCUCCACAGACAAGAAGUAAUUUACAUCUCUCUAUAAGCUACACAUUAAUUAGCAUUUACUAAUCAAUGGCAUCUAGUAGUAAAAUUCACUGGUUCUCUUUAUUUUUUACUUCAGUCUACAAAUUAUCUUAAAAUUUCUUUCCUUUCUCUAAAUUGUCCUUUGCAUGGAUUUUCCUUUUGGCAGAACUACAAGAUCUGCUCCCUGGGAUCUUUAACCAGCUGGGUAUGUAAUGCUUUCGAGUAUUGCUGUUCAUUAGUUUUCUUUUAUACCUUGAAUGCAGCAUUAAAUUGCAGUUGCCAUGUAAUGUUGACACCAUUCAAUCCUGUUCUACUUUCAUAAUGAUAUGUUUUCUGUUUUGUCUUGUUGUACUCACCUAUUUUUUUUUCUGACCAAUCAAUAAUUGCCGUGUUUCAAUUCUGCAGUUAAAAUUCUCUUUGAUGAUUUUUCCUUUACAAGUAUCUUGUAUUUUGGGAUAAAUAACUAGAGGUCAUGUUUUAUAUUGGGAUAUUUGCAAUAUAACCUCCAAAUGAACUACUUACCUAUAUCACCAUGCAUAAUAUGGAAGUUCAUGUACAAUCUUCAAAGACUAAAUGUCAUUCAUAUAUCACCUGAAACAUUUUCUAUGACAAAACCAAUGGGCCCACAUCAAUCAGAUGAUUCCAGGGUGUAUGGUAUAUUGGUAUGAAACGGCAGUUUAUAUGGUUACAUAUGACAAGUCAGAUUUUACAGAGACAUUUUGAUAGAUGAUUUUUUCAGGGACACUGAAUAUGUAAAGGCCCCCCUUUCGAUAUCGGGGCCGCUCAACCUGUCAUUUGAAGGAUGCUUAAUUGGUUGCUUAAUAAGCUUAGCCACUCAAAUGGCAUUAUUCUCUUUUCAGGUCCUGACAACUUGGACAAUCUGAGGAGGAUCGCCGAGCAGUUCCAGAAGCAGGCUCCUGCUGCCGGUGCCGACAACAAUGACAACACCGCUCAAGAAGAUGAUGAUGAUGUACCGGAACUAGUUGCAGGAGAGACAUUCGAAGCUGCAGCUGAAGAGGCCAAAGCAUAAGAGUUUUUUCCUCUUUUUUUUUUUCGUUGUUUUCAUCGCCGAACCCAUCGCUGGUUCAGCCGUUUCUUCUUUUUUGUUUAUUUAUGGUUUAAUCUGGAGAGCAGGCUUUUAAAUUUAUUAUAGAAAGACAAGCAUGCAUGUUAGCUACUCUCAUCCGGCCAAGAUAUGUAACUGAUGUGAUAAAAUAUCGUGCUGUUCUCGCUGAGCUUCUCCCACUUUAAGAUUUUGCUACUUGUUAUUUUAUUUUCCAAGAUUUUCCAUUCAUUGUUAUUGGCGCAUGUUUCUCUUUUUCAAUUUGAGAUUUUUACAUUCUUUUUUAUAUUAAUUUCAGUUGUAAUCUGGAUUUUUUUUUUUUUUUUUUGGUGCUGUGCUAAAUUACGCUUGUUUAUUUUUGUCUAGCCAUGUGGGUGUUCAAGAUUAGUCAUGACCUUGGUGGACCUGGACCUGAUUUAAAGCAAAUUGUUCCGAGGAUAAUCGUACUAAUAACGAUUCGUCUUUCGAGAUGAUUAUACUUGGUUGGUUCAUGUUGGUACCCGGCUUGUGUCAAUUACUUCAUCUUUCUUGCUGCAUCUGAAUUUGCUGCGUGUGUUUCUGUUGCUAAUUCUAUGCGAUUUUGUUGACACAGUUAGGAUUUGUACUGGAGAAUUUGCAUGAAUUUUGAGUCACCAAGACAAAUAGAAGUCUUAAUGAUCAAAAGCGCGGAUCAUCUGAUUGUUGGGUCCCUGGAGCCAUUUCUUUGUAAGCCUUGGUGGACGAGCAGGAACUUUAUGAUAUAGUUUCAUUUGGUGAAGAAACAAUAAUUCUGUCGAGACUCUGAGAUCGUGCAAUAUUCUACCGUCACAAUAUUAUGUGACAUUGAUUAUUCAGAUGUAUAUGCUAGAUGAUCUUUGAGCCGGAGAAACUGUUGAAUUUUUGUCACGUCUCACGCACGUCAGCAGCAGUGUGAGAGACGUUCCUAGAUUUUCUUCUUCAACUGUGAUGCUCUCGCACCACCAUUUUCCCCUAGAUCGCAGACGAGGAGGCAGCAGGUGGCGGCAGCGACUGAGGCCGUGUUGCUGCGCGAGAGGAGCGGCCGUGGGAGCCCGCACGGUGGAGGCGGCACUUGAAGGAUCCUUGGUGUGUCGCCGGCGCGCACACACACUUGGGAACUGCUGAGGCCGUAGAGUUGGUCGACCAGCUUCGCCUCAGGUUCCGAUGAGGAGCAGGCGGCGGUGGCGGUGGCAGUGGCGGCGGACCCUGCAUGCUGAUCUGCAUCCCCUCAUCGGCAGAGGCCAUAUCUGGUAACACUCGUAAAAUCUGAGAAAAAGAAAUGAGGAGCAGAAUUUGAUCAGAAAAGAUCAAAAACAAACCAGGUACUAGUAAAGCUGAAAGCAGGCAACCCGGCGGCCGCGCUUUCAAGGAAAAAAAAAACAUGAAAAACAGUAUCAGCAGUAUGUACUGUGCUGCGUCGUAGUACGUAGAAAUAUAGAAACCGAAAAAAUAAAAUGCUAAACAGAAUUAAUUACAAGAGAGAAGGUAGAGGUACAGCUUCCUCUUGCUUCACAUUAGUUAUGUAUAAUUAUUAACAAGAAUUAAUAAGGAAAAAGGAGGGGAAAAAAAAGAUAAGUAAAGAACAGGAGAAGAGAAAGUGGUUGCUCCACUCAACGAGCCAUUCAUUCGGAAGAGGCAAAGUGCGUUCCACGGCACGGGACUUCGUAUUGUAUUUAUAUAUAUAUUUAUUUAUAGGAGAGUGGGGGCUCCAACGCACUCCCUCCGCAUAGCUUUCAUACAUUGUGGAUGAGGGCGACGCGAACAAUCUUUUGUUUACUAGUUAUUAUUUUUUACGCAGAAUUAAAUGAGAUAGGAUACUUUCUUUCAGCUUUUAAAAUAGGGAUAUUUAAAUUUUCGAAAAGCUUUAAUCAGUUUACUCCCGAGCGGUGCUCGAAGGAAAAAGAGGGAAUACGCCCUGAAAUUAGAAUACUGGCUUGCAAACAGUAGUAAUUAAUAUAUAGAUUUUGACCGUCGUAUUCACUGGUGCGUAUUUCCUCUUUUUUUUUUUCUUUUUUUUUUUUUUUAUAAUGUCUUUUUGGGCCUUUUCAUAAAAAAAAAAAAGAAAGAAGCUUAGUACAACUUCGGUAAGCAACUCAUCCAACAGCAGAUAUCUAUGAUAUGAUAAUAUUUCGCUUCGAUUUCUUGGAUUUGUCGCAAUUAUGGGUUAGAACAUGAAAGAGUGUUAUAGGUGG